This 77300-nucleotide long non-coding RNA is filed under the name Setaria italica (foxtail millet). Its description in RNAcentral is "long non-coding RNA (SITA_LNC003513)". The record is from RNAcentral. Lineage: Eukaryota; Viridiplantae; Streptophyta; Magnoliopsida; Poales; Poaceae.
GCCUUGGAAGCGCAGACAGUUGAAUGGUGGACGGAGCUACGGUCUCUUGACGCACCAAGGAGCACCGGACUAGCAACUCUGCAACUAACAGAGUGGAGAAAGCGCCCCUUAAUGAAAAGAAAAACAGCCGGUGCAAGGCUUUAUACAAAGAAUGUGACAGCCACUGCGUGUAUCCGAGGCUUUAUACAACUCUGCCUUAUCUAAUCUACCGAGGAUUGUUGCGUAUGGAUGCGUAUAGAUUAUGCACGUACUCCCUCCUCCGUCCUAAAAUAAACGCACAUCUCGUUUCUCGAGGAGUCAAACUUUUAAGUUUGACUAAAAUUUAUAAAAAAAAUGUACUACUAUUUAUAAUGUAUAAUAAAUGUCAUUAUUGAGCAUUGGGUAUACUUUCCUAAUACAUUUAUUUGAAGAUGCAAAUAUUGUUACUAUUUUCUAUAUUCUUAGUCAAACUUAAAAACCCGUCAUGGGGAUUAGUCACGAUAUAAGUAGGGACUAGCAAGCAUCAAAACCCCAUUCACUGCCCAUCUAUCGCUCAAAUAAAAGAAACCAUUGCAUAUGGUGGCGAUGCGCUCGCGAGCCUUUCUCCAACCUUUCUGCUCUCGCGAGCCUUGAACUCGCAUGGAACAGUUUUAGUGAGAGUGUGCCUCCAACUUUGGGAAGAUUGUGAAGCCUUAUUUACCUGUCCUUAAGUGGCAAUAAGUUAUGAUCGAAUGAUAAGGACGGAUUGGAAUUCAUCACCAUGCUAGCAAACUGCAGCCAGCUUCAGCAACUGGCUUUUGAUAAUAAUUCAUUCAUCGGUGAACUUCCUAGCUCAAUAGCAAAUCUAUCGACAACUCACCAAUUACUCUAUAUAGGAAACAAUUGGAUUUCGGGAUUUAUUCCAUCCAGCAUAGGUAAUUUGCUUGGUCUAGAACUGCUUACGUUGGCAAAUACUUUCAUAUCCGGAGUGAUUCCAGAUAGCAUUGGUCGCAUAGAAGACAUGUCCGUGUUAGGCAUUUACUACGCUAGCUUGUCAGGCAUCAUACCUUCAUCACAAGAAACCUUACACAGUUGAAAACUCUAUGCAUACGAUAGCAACUUGGAGGGUCCAAUUCCAGCAAGCUUGGGGAACUUAAAGAAUCUUUUUGUUCUUGAUCUUUCAACGAAAGUGUGUUACCCGUUAAGAUUUCAUGUCGAAGCAGAGCAUAAACCUCUCUCAAGACUGCAAAGCUAUCAUAGAGCAGAUCAGUCUGAGGGCCGGGCUAUGUACCCUUUCGGUAAGAUUACCCCAAACUAGAGUCUGUAAUUAAUUAGCCAAGACUAGAAUUACGUAGUUCUUGUGGUUGUACUGUUUUCCUGGGUGGCCGCUCCAUGUUCCAAUUAAGCAUGAUGAUCUUGUAUUAAUAAAAGGUAUAUCAUAAAUAAAACAAGUUUAAUCAUUGAGUUCAUUAAAACCAUCACAACCCAAGGUAUUGCAACUAAGCAUAUCUACCAAAAAAAGGGUAAAACCCAGGUUGACAAAGAAUGAUCAUAAAAACUAGGUAAACCUUAAUAGGGCCCAUCAAUUUUAAGUGCACAGCAAUGCAAAAGUGAUUAAAUAUAGUUAUUGGGACAAAAGCACAUGGACACACUUGCCUUUCUCCAAAGAAUAGCUGCUCUGAUUAUCUUCAACUCUUGUUCCUCAAAGCUCUCGAACAACGUUCCUUAUACUCACAUCAAUCAUUGGCACAAGCAUACAAAGCAAACAACAAUCACAACUAAGAACAAUACAUCAAUCAUAGGAAAGCUUUAAAAGAGCGCACUAAAGGAUAAGGCUUGAAUCUGAAACACUGGGAACUAAACUAUGGUUGAAAUGACAAAGCUAUCGAGAGAUUUGAAUUAUAAAAGAAAGAGAAAAGCCUAUGCGCUUCAUAUAUUUCAAUAAAGAAAAUAAUGUAAAGAUAUUUUAGAGAAACAUCCUUAGCAAGUUAUAUUUAUAUAUGAAAAGAUAAUGUAGAACUUAGUCAAAUUUUAUUUAUAAACAUUCAAGUACAAUUUAUGCAAAUUAAAAAUUUAAUUUGAAAAUAAAGUAUAUGGAAACAUCUAAGCGCAUAGCUUUAUGAUUCGGGUUGAACUAACCAAAUAUAAUUCAAAAACAUAUUUAUAUUUAUAUUAAGUCAAAUUAACAUAUAAUUAUGAAACCUCGAGAUAUAACUUAUGUAGCUUUUAUUUAGAAAACAAAUUGAAUAAACAUUAAUCAAUUUAAGUUCAAUUAUGAACCACCGUGGUGCAUCUCUAAUUCACUUUUAAUUGAAAGAGUUAUUUAAAUAAGCAUUAACUAAAUUAAUAUUUAUUAUGAAAAGUGGUUAUAACACUAAGUAGCUUUUAAUUAAGGAAGGCAUGUUUAACAUGCAUUAAUUAGAUUAAUAUUAAAUUUAUUUUAAAAACAUGCAUGAUGGAAAGAUCAGUACUAACAUGUAAUUUGUGUUAUCACGAACCUAACUCAACAAGAACGGAUAUAAACGGAGCUGUAACGAGGAGUCUAUGGGUUAAACAAGGUUGCAGGGCCUAAUCACGAUUAACGGAAGGUUGUUGGGGCUAGCAAGGAAGAUUUGCAAGACACUGGAAUAGAGCUCGUUAUUAGGUCAAAGCAUAGGGUUAGAUCUGUUAAAGUGCUCAGGUUGGACUUGGUUGCACGGAUACAAUCUAAUCAGGGACAUGGAUGAAAAAAACAAGACACAAGGAAAAACUAACUAUAUAUAGAGCUUUCUAGGGGCCUAUGCGCAAAAGCACCAUAGCUCAGCAUCCAUGGUGGACGGGCUCCUUGACGGCAAAAUCCUCAUGCUGGAUUUAUAAGCCUGGUAGUCCACCAAGGGGUUUCCCAAGUAGUUGAUUUGUAGGUGAGGGUGAUUGUGAAACCAAGAACUCGAAGGUGAUUGUGAGAACACGAAGGGACACAAAGGUUUUAGACAUGUUCGGGCCUCCGAAGAGUAAUACCCUACGUCCUAUAUGCUGGUUUGUAUUGCUUGAGAUUGAUGUGAUUGUUGCGAUAUCCUCGGGGGUGCCCUUGGCCACCUUAUAUAGGUUGACGACCAAGAGUUAAAAGUCGGUUUGAAUCUAAUCUACUCGGUAGUUACAUGGAAAGUAAUCUGAGUUGGACUACAAUACACGUUCCAUGAUAUCCGAGCAGAUUUGAACUGUCUUGUUGCCUUGACUUGCACUCCAAGUAACUUCAUAUCCUCGGCCCACACGCCCUGGUCGAGCGAGCCCUACUUGUCAGGUUCGGCCAGUAUCCUGGUCGGCUGGGGCCCAUGGGGUACCCAUUUCUCUCAAGCCCCCGAGCGUUGUGUAGGCAAAUAGAAACUUGAGGUCACCAAAACGAAACUUGAAAUGAAGUCGGCUGAAGCUGCGAAGGCGUCAUUGCGACGGAGAGGCUGCGCAGUGCUUAAAAGAAGAAAAUCUGAGCAAACACAGAGCCAACGCGUAGAGCGAAGACGAGUGCCGAGUUGAUGGAUGCUGGCAUCCAGUAGGUCGGAGCGAAGGUUACGGAGGGCGUCGCAAGAGAAACUCCGUAGGAGUAGCCCCCGAGCAUUGAAACGAUUAAGAUAAUCGGUACAUUGGUCAAAGUACAAAAAAUUAUCCCAUGAUGUAGAUCCUAGUGCUCGAACACAAGGAUGGGUGCAGCCAUGGAGGCCCGCCCACUAGAAGUAGGCACCCAGACCCAAGGACGAGGACUGAUAGGACCGCGUAGCCACGCUGACCUGAAAUAGGCGUCCAACCCCCGAGGACGAGGACUAGCGGAGCCGCGGAGGCAUGCUGACCUGAAGUAGGCGCCCAGCCCCCGAGGAUGAGGACUGGCGGAGCCAUGAAGGCACGCCGACUUGAAAUAGGCACCAAGUGUAACAACUCUACCUAAAUUAAGUGCUUUUAAAUAUAAACUAGUGGCUAAUCACUAAGUUAAAGAAGUAAAAUGACCAUUUUAACCCUAAGAAGCUCUUUUUGGAGUUUGAAAUAAAACUUGGAAUUUUAUAUGCAAACUUAAAAUUUUGCCCAAACAAGAGUUGUAAAACUUUCAAUUUCAAACAACUUUUGUUAAACGAACUUUGACUAAUUCAGAGUGGGAGGAAGUCAAAAAUAGCAAUCAAAACUGGAGUACUAAAGAACCCUAUAAACCUCCUAAGUCCUGGUUUUCAAAUUUUCCCUCCAACUUUGCAAGCCUUUAUCUCAUGAUUUCUUAUCCAAACUCAAGUCAGGCUCUUAAUAAAAGUUGUAGUCCCUCGAGUGUGUUCCAACUUUGUUACACUGACCCAGGUCCAAAUCGGGCCAGAACCUGUUCAAAAUCUUGGUCAAAGUGAGGUAAAACAGUCAACUCAUCCCUUGAGCCCCACAACGCUAAGUCUGAAAAACUGCUCAGAGUGCACCUCUUGGCGAGGGCGUUCCUCCAAAUUUUUGAACUAAACUCAAGAAAUACCCUAAAUAAAAGCUUAAACCCAGGGACCCCUACGUAGUUAAACCUUAAACCCAGGGGCUUGCUUGCAACUUUGUCACAGCUUUUCUUUUAAAUAAUAGGCAGAAAUAUGGUUGAAUUUUGUAAAUGCCCAGUAAAUCGUAGAAUAAUCAUAAAAAUGCCAAACUACUUUUGCUAGAAUCCUUUCUCUGUCUAGUUCCUAAGAAAAAUAAGUUUGCUCAUGUUACUGUUGUAAAUAAUAUCCUACGCUUUUAAUCAUGUUGUAGGCCUUUUAAAUCCUAAUAAAUAGAAGAAAAGUGGGAAAAAUGUGGAACCAACUCUGUGAUGCUUGUUUCUAUGUGUAGAAGCUUAGAAAAAUAGUUAGGGCUCUGGUGUAGCACUUUAAGUCACUGUUUUGACUUUAAAUUGGGAAUCUAAGUAUAAAUCUUCCUUUUUGCAUAAGUUUUGAUCUAGAGCUUAGAAAAAUGUGAAACUAGUUGGGUUAAUUUUGUUUUGCUGUAAAGUUCUCAGGAAAAAUAUAAAUUGUUGUGCAAAUCAGAAAUAAAAACACCUUCCUUGCUAAGCAUGUUUAAUUAAGAAAAGAAAUAGAGUAAAUAGUAACCUUGUCCAAAAAUUACGAAAAAAUUCACCAAAGCACCUGUAACAUACCCUUAACACACUGCUUAAGUUUCACCCUCUGUUGCACAAUAAUUUUGAAGAUGGAAAAAAUUAAGCUCAGUUUACCUUUAAUAAUAAAAUGCAUGUAACUUCUUUUUAAGUCAUCCUUUGGCCCCCAAACUUUUACAGUAACCUAGUGAUGGCUUAAGUGAGGUGCUGUAAUUUUAUCAAUGACUUUAACUACUUUUUGGAUAUGAAGUCAUUUUGGUUAAUUAAUCAACCUAAAGGAAUAAAAGGAGAGCGCGAAUUCUAAUACGAUAAAUAAGUGGACACUGAAAGAGGUACAUAAAAACAUUCAGAAGUAAGUAAUUAUUCCAAUGCAUCCAAACCACCCAACACGACCUUUCACACUCUUUAUGCAACUCUAAAUGCAAGAAAGCUAUAUAUGUACACAAUCGCCAUUCAACGCGAACUCAAGUUUAAAACGACCACUUUCGUUUGAAGUUAAAAAAAGUAAACCUCAUCAAAGUGUUUGUGGCUGUUGUGACUCUUGUCUUAAGCCAUGCCUUGUGUCGUUGAAUAAACGCGCGAGUCCAACUAAAUUUUUGUAUGUGCAUGUCGUAUAGAAGCAACUCUCGCCGACGGAACCUACGAGCUCCACCCGGCACCAGAGAAAGACCCCGCUACGGAGCUUCACCACUUGGAAGGCGAGCCCGAACCGGAGCAAGAUCCUGAGGACCCGCUAACUUUUCCUGAAGGCAAGCCCCGGAGCAUAAAUUCCUAUCUUUGAAUACUUGCAAUAUUAUUGAACACUUUGAUUGCGCAUUUACGUUUCUAGGAGUUGUAAUGAAACCUUAGAUGCAUGAACUUAGUACCUUGUUUGAAUACUAGUUGCUAAAGUCGAGUAGUUGCAAUGCUUAAUAGGUUCCGGUAAAAGUCGAGUGAUUUCCUAUCACUCGCGAGUUAUAGGAGUUGAAUGUUUACUUAUGUUGCAACUAUAAGGACGAUGGAUGUGGUCGGGCUUAUGUUCGAUACUUGGUGGUUUUUCCCCGUCUGUCUAAAGGAAAUUGAUCUAAGGUUGAAAUGUGUCGGCGUUCGUGAUCAAGUGUUUGAAAGUACUAAUCUCAUACCUAGUAUGGGAUGGGGAAGCCUAGUACCUGAUUGAACUGGGGCAUGGCAUACUCCCCCAGCUGCCUUGGAACACCGUUCCCAUGGUGCAUCAUGUGGGUGCAAGUGCGGUCAUAGUACGGCAGAGGCCGGGAUUAUGGAGCAUGGCAUGCCAAAGGCAGUUGGCCCUGACACGUGCCUAAGGGAUCGAUGGGGACGGCUGACAAAUGAAGCAACCCUUCGUGGUGCGCGGAUGUCGUGAGAUUAGGUUCGCCAUGCAUGGUUAAUAAAUUCGAAUCGAUUCGUCUGCCUCUCACAGUUUGGGACUACUUGAUCGCUAUUCUGCACUGAGUAACGAUGAAACAUGAUUACGAGAUUAAGUUGAUGCUUGUUAUUUAACUGCUUGGAAAUCAUGCUUGUUUAGCAUAAGUGGCUAAUCUAGAAUGGUUAAAGAACGUAGAACUUGAGCUAAAAUAUUGAAAGUAAGGACUGAUUGUAGACGCUUGUGGCAAAGAAAUCGCAGAGCCAGAAAGCCUUGCAUGUCUAGGUCUUGGUAAAGCUUUUCACUCGACGGGUCAGUCUUGCUGAGUAUUAGUUGCUCAGCCUUGUUGUGGCUUAAUCUUUUCCAGUGAUGUCAAUAGUUUGGUUGCGGGCACCACUUGGCCUACCCAGCUCCCUCCGGGCUGGACAGUCGAGUGGGAUCCCUCCUCGGACGGCGAGGGAAGGGAUUUUUGAUGUCAUGAUUGGAUCCGUCGUGAUGUCAUGUAUCGAUGUUUAGCUUCCGCUUGUUUUAUCCGACUUUUCGAACCUUGCAACUUGUUUGAAUUUUCAGAAACUCUGAUGUAAUAAUUUGUGACACUAAGGAAUGUGAUGGAAUGUAGUAAUCUCUGUGCUACUCACCUUCAUGUGAGCGAUGCUUCUCGAUCCUGUUUAGGUGGUUCAUCGGAUGAAAUCCAACGGUCGACCAGUUUGACUUGCUUAAAGUGCAUAAUCGCGUGUCAGGCGACUUCAACGCAUUUUAGUCAGGUUAAUUUGGGUGGUUCCGCCACAGCUAGCAUCAGAGCUCGAAGCACGGUAUGGAGAACAACAAACCUUAAAACACUUUUCCUGACUAAAACUUGCAAGAAACGAGUUGAAAAAUUCGUAAGUUCGUUAAGGAUGAAUUUAGUACGAGGAGCCCUAGGGGAAUUUUGGGUCUUUUAAGGUGGCUAAUAAUUAUUGGUUAUCUUCUGACUUCCAGCACUUGUUACCACGUCUAUCAUACGUGUGCCGAGAUCUGCAUCGCGAGUGUGCGAAGGGUGAUAGGAAUUCGAUUCCAACGAGCCUAUCAUCACGGUUGUUUCGCCCACGUCUAUUAUACGUGCGCAGGUUCCGUAUGUUAAUUCAUGCGAAGGAUGGUAUGGUUCGAUUCCAACGAGCCUAUCAUCACGGUUGUUCGCCCACGUUUAUUAUACGUGUGCAUGAUUCCGCAUCACGAGAAUGUGAAGGGUUAUAUGGUUCUAUUCAAGGGAACCUAUUUCCACGGUUGUUGCGCUGUCCAUGCAGCGUUAAACGCAUGGGUGCCGUUUCUAUAGUGAACGGUAAUGAUUGUGGACGCUUUUGUGAGUACUGGCACGGAAAGUUCAAGCUAUGAUGUGUUUUUCUGCGGGUACACUAACAACGUUGCGUACGAAACGAUGCUUAGCAACUCGACUAGUUAUUAUAGUGAGAGUCGUAUUGUUGCCUUGCCACCGGCACUAACCACGUAAGUUCAAAGAUUUUUGGCGAUUAUUUUUGGUUGAGAGGAUGACUAGGACGUGCAUGCAUUAAGAAAUAAAAACCGCAACCUAAGGAAAUAAAACCAAGCUCGAGUGUGUCGUAAAAAGAAAUGCACCGCGAUAAGGAUCGUCUAGUUGUCCUUUUUUUUCCGCCAUGCACGUUUAAAUAAAUCUUUCAGGUUGUUCCAUAUGAUAACUUCAGAAACUUUAUAUAAGAAAUUUGUGUUAAAUCUCCCAAGUAAACUGCUGAAAAUUUUUCACAAAGUACUACCACUUGGGUUGAGAGUUGUGAUCAGUUUUGUGACCCCCUGUUGGCUGUUAGCCCUGAGUGCACACCAGUUGGAAUUCUGCUGUUUCGACCACCUUAAGAACUUUUUCUGCUAGGAGUCCCUUAAGAAACGUUUCUCAAAACUUAAUAAAGAACUUACUGGUAAAAUUGCAGCUUCAUUAGGUCUCUUGUUUUGAAGUUAUGUUCAGUUUACUUUGACUCGGGUCUGAAAAAUUCUAGCAUGUACACUUAAUGGGAAUCUGAGGUUAUCACCUUGUUAGGUCCUGUUCUAGCCCUACCUUUGAAUACCAAACUUGUUACGCACUAUCUAAAGAACAUGCUGGUAAAAUUUGAGAAAUUUUGGAUGAAUAAUUGCUGAGUUAUGAGCUUUUCUCUAACUGCUAGAAAUCUGUUUUGAUUUCCAAGUGUUAACUCCGUUUCUCACUUGUCCUUUGGUUACAGUGGCUCAGCCUGUGCACGUUGCAGUCGGUACGGAUGGCACCACCUACUCACGGUGCCUUCACUACGAGGGUUUCCUAGCCGUACUGUGGGACACCCUGCGCUCUUUUGGGUACCCGUCACCGCCAGUUUACGCGGGACGUGCAUACCAGGACCGCGGGAUUCCGCGGAGUCGCGUGCACGUGCGGGUGCCCCCGCCUCCGGGUCAGCCACAGUGUCCGCUUUUGGAGGUGGUGGCCGAGGGAUAGACACUACAGGACACCUGGGAGUUCGCAGCCUUGCAGACCCUGACACAGUUUUGCCGGGCACACCCUCUUGAGAUCGUGCUGGACCCGAUUGGGUUGUGCUCUGCUCGGGAUACGAGGGACCCGGAUUGGUUGGAUCGUAUGGAGCAUAUGGACUUACUCAGGGUUAUGGAUCCACAACGCACGAUUUUUGUUUCAGCUCGUUGCCUGAACGUGUUCUUCCGGAUGGUUGAGAUGCAGAGCCGAGCGAUGGCUACGGUGAUCGGGAUGGCAGUGGCCAACCAGGUCGCUUUAUCUGCCGUGCAGAGUGGCAUGGUGGACCAGUCGCUUGAGCUAGUACAGAAGGAUGUCCAGAUUGCUGAGAUGCAGGACAAGAUCACUCGUUUGGAGGAGGAGAUUGUGGAUAUGGAGCAUGAUAUGGAGAUCUUGGCUGACCAGUUCUAUGAUGUGAACAUGGAGCCGGCGAACGUCAAUGAGCACCUGCAGGAGCAUCACGAUGAGCUUAAUGCCAUUCACACCUUAGAGAUGCAGCAGGAUGAGCCGAUGGCCCAGGAGGAGGAGCCUGAGGAGAUCGAGGGCUUUUCGAGCAUGGACUAUGAGGAGGCCUCUCCGCAGCCUCCAGUUGGCGAUGCUCACUCUCCUGCCCUUAGCUUUGCCUCCGUGGGCAACCUCGACGACUUCUAGUUGUGUUGACUUGUUGUUGAGGGGUUCUCUUUUGUUUUUACUCCUCGGCGACCUAUAUUUUGGCUAGUGAUAUAAUAGGUUAGCUUGAGUUGAGUAUUUGGGAGUUGAGAAACUGAUUCUAUGUUGGAUUGCCGUUGCUAUCUUUAGUGUAAUGUCUGAAAUUUAUGGCAGAACUGCAGUGACUGUUUCUCCUCAGUUUUACCCCUGUCUCCACUCGUUUUUGAGCCAAAGUUUGAAUACCAAAGUUGUGCAAAAACUUCUGUUCUAACUAUUCGUAAAUUUUCAGCUCCUUCGGAUCUGUCAAACGCCCGCUAGAGCCAAAACCCCACUGUUCAGCUUGCUGAAAAAUCAGCCGGACAGCAACUUGCUAGAACGUCUAAACGACCUCUUUUCCUUCCUUUUCGGUCGACAAGCGUAACAUGAAAGUGGUUGUGUACGAUAUAUUCUAACCCUCACUUAAGGAUGAGAACCUUGUGCACUUCGAAGAAGAGAUAUGCACCUACUCAAUAAAAGUUUUGAUUGUUGCUUUUGCACCAUCGGCAAGACUAGCGUUUAUCAUUUCCGCACAUAAUGUUUCCUUAUGGUUAAACAAGAUUUUGGGGCUAUGUGACUAAUGGAAAGGUGAAUCUUGCAGAUGGCACAUCGCAUAUGCUCCGGCUCCAUUCCUAGUGGCAGCGAGGUGCCUCCCCCACCUCCGCCUCCAACCACCCUCGAGGCAAUCUUGGCGGCUCAAACCGAGCUGCUGAGGCACAUCGCUCAGGGACAGCAGCAGCAGCAGCCCUAGGGAGGAAGAGCCCAUCAGCAGCCUCAUGUUGCUCGCUACGAGGACUUUCUGGGGACCCAGCCUCCUCUGUUCCACAAGACGGAGGACCCGCUUGACGCCGAUGCCUGGAUUCGUGCCAUCGAGUCCAAGUUCUCCCUUCUCACCGCCCAUUGCCCGGAGGAGAACAAGGUUCGGUUCGCCGCGCAACAGUUGCAUGGUUCUGCUCUCCUGUGGUGGGAUCACUACCACGCCAUGCAGCCGGCCGACCACGUCGUCGGCUGGGAGGAAUUCAAGACAGCGUUCAAGGGCCAUCACAUCCCUGAGGGUCUUCUGGAGCGCAAGCUCAAUGAGUUCCUGGCUCUCACCCAGGGAGGCCGCGACGUCCUGCACUAUGCGCAGGCUUUCAAUGACCUGUGUCGCUAUGCAGGCUAUCAUGCAGACUCUGAUGAGAAGUAGAGGGACCGCUUCCACAGAGGCUUGAGCCUGGAGCUCAAGGAAAGCCUGAAUCCCAUCAAGGUGGAUUCCUACAAUGAACUGGUGAACCUGGCAAUUUCCCAGGAAGAUUGCAUGAGGGCUCUCAAGGCUGACCUGAAGCGAAAGGCUCCAAUGCCGGCACCCGGCCCACCGGCCCAGAAAUACAAAGUGGUUCCCCCACAGGCGUCUCACAGGCCCGCACAACCUAGGAGAUGGGUUGCUCGACCUCCACCGCAGGCAGCACCUCAUUUCCCUGGAUUCCAGCCGCAAGGGCCCCGACCUACUCUUCCUAUGCCGCCAUGCCUAGUCACUGGAAACCGCUGUUUCACCUGCGGGAACCCAAGACACUUUGCCAAGAACUGCCCCCGCAACAAGAAUCAACGACCCGGUCAGAGCAAUGCACUGAGCAACAAGGGGAAGAAGCCGAGGGUUCAGGUCCGACAAGGCAGGCUGAACUACACCACCCUUGCUGAACUUCCAGAGGGUGCACCAGUGAUGACGGGUACCUUUUCUAUCUAUAACCAACCCGUCCUUAUUCUGUUUGAUUCGGGAGCAUCUCAUAGUUUCAUUGGGACUAGAACCAGUGCUAAGUGUGGGUUAGAUUUCUGUCACACAAAAGGUGCUUAUAUAAUCUCUACCCUGGGUAGGAAAGUAACUUCACACCAAGUGAGCCGCAAGGUGCCUAUCCAGUUGGGGAGAACCCUUUUUAAGGAAAACCUCCUUAUCCUUGGGAUAGAAGGAAUAGAUAUUAUCUUGGGUAUGGAUUGGAUGACUCGACAUCGAGUGGCACUAGACAUCCCUGCCAGAGCCGUCCAUAUAAACUCACCCAUUUAUGGUAGCUCAAUCAUACACUUACCCCCCCGAGAGUGCCAAACUUUUUGUGCCUAUCCCUUGACUGAAGCCCGUUUAGAAGACAUCCCAGUGGUGUGCGAGUAUCCCGAUGUGUUUCUAGAUGAUUUGCUGGGUAUGCUGCCUAAUAGAGAUAUCGAGUUUGCUAUUGAGUUGCAACCAGGUACUGCCCCAAUUUCAAAGAGACCGUACCGGAUGCCACCAGCCGAGCUGGCAGAAAUGAAAGCUCAGUUUCACGAUCUGUUGGACAAAGGUUUUAUUCAUCCAAGUACAUCACCUUGGGGUGUCCCCGCCUUGUUUGUGAAAAAGAAGGACGACAGUCUGCGUAUGUGUCUGGACUACUGCCCUCUCAAUGCGGUGACGAUAGAGAACAAGUACCCACUACCCCGCAUUGAUGUUCUGUUCGAUCAGUUAGCUGGAGCUAGAGUGUUUUCCAAAAUUGACCUCCAUUCUGGCUACCAUCAAAUCAAGAUCCACCCGUGCGACAUUCCUAAGACUGCUUUCUCUACACGGUAUGGACUCUAUGAGUACUUAGUCAUGUCAUUUGGGCUUACUAAUGCACCAGCUUAUUUCAUGUACCUCAUGAAUUCGGUGUUUAUGCUCGAACUCGACAAAUUCAUCGUGGUUUUCAUUGACGAUAUCUUGGUGUACUCAAAGGAUGAGGAAGAACAUGCAGAGCACCUACAUACUGUACUCCAACGCUUAAGAGAUCACCAACAAUAUGCCAAAUUCUCUAAGUGUGACUUCUGGCUGGACAGUGUUAAAUUCUUGGGGCACACCAUAUCCAGAGACGGUAUAGCAGUAGACCCAAGCAAAGUGCAAGAAGUAAUGGACUGGAAGUCGCCCACUUCAGUUCAUCGGAUUCGAAGUUUUCUCGGGUUAGCAGGUUACUACCGUCGCUUCAUUCCUGACUUCUCAAAAAUAGCUAAGCCAAUGACGAAACUGCUAAGGAAGGGAGUUAAGUUCAUGUGGAGUGACAAAUGUGAAGAAGCCUUCCACACCCUGAGACAAUUACUGACCUCUGCGCCGGUUUUAGCUCAGCCCAACACCACUAGGCUGUUUGACGUAUAUUGCGAUGCCUCUAGCACUAGACUGGGUUGUGUUCUUAUGCAAGACAGCCGAGUCAUUGCCUAUGCCUCACGAGCGCUACGGCCACAUGAGUUGAACUACCCUACCCAUGAUCUCGAGUUAGCAGCAAUCGUUCAUGCUCUGAAAUUAUGGAGGCAUUAUCUUAUGGGAACUCGAUGCAACAUCUAUACGGAUCACAAGAGUCUUAUGUACAUCUUCACUCAAGCAGACCUCAACAUGCGCAAGAGAAGAUGGUUAGAAUUAAUCAAAGAUUAUGACCUAGAAGUGCACUAUCACCCAUGCAAAGCCAAUGUAGUUGCCGAUGCUCUCAGCCGCAAGAUCCAUUGUAACUGCUUAUCGGCAAUUAAUUAUGCCGAGACCCUCUGUCAUGAAAUGGCUAAACUCAACUUGGAAAUUGUUCCCCAUGGCACCUUAAGUCAUAUUUCUUUAGAGCCUACCCUGCUUGACCAAAUAAUUUUAGCACAACUAGAGGAUGAAGAGAUAAACCUUAUCAAGGAGAAACUCGCACAGGAGGAUGAGGGAUAUAAGCAUUUCUGAUAGGAUUGGAGAGGAGUGGUACAUUAUGAAGCUCGACUCGUAGUUCCAAAUGAUCCCGAUCUUAGGAAACAAAUUCUGGACGAAGCACACCUUUCCAAGUUCUCGAUUCACCCUGGUAGUACCAAGAUGUACCACAACCUCUGACAAAAUUUCUGGUGGAGUGGAAUGAAACCCGACAUUGCACGAUAUGUUUCAGAGUGUGAUACCUGUCAGCGAGUCAAAGCAAGCCACUUAAGGGUAGCUGGCCCCUUGCGGCCACUGCCUAUUCCCUCGUGGAAGUGGGAGGACAUAAGCAUUAUAGUCAGACUACCCAAUACCUCCCGCAAACAUGAUUCGAUAUGGGUUAUAGUAGACCGACUUACCAAAACAGCGCAUUUUCUUCCAGUACACACCACCCGCGCCAUACAGAAAUAUGCAGAACUGUACCUUGACCGGAUUGUUUCCUUGCAUGGUGUACCUAAGACGAUCAUCUCUGAUCGAGGUAGUCAGUUUGUAGCACGCUUUUGGGAGCAGUUGCAGUUUUCACUUGACACUAAAUUUAUUCGUAGUUCCACAUAUCAUCCUUAAACCGAUGGACAAACUGAAAGGGUUAACCAGAUUUUGGAAGAUAUGCUACGCGCCUGUGCCAUUCAUUAUGACAAGAACUGGGAUAAGUGUUUGCCAUUAGCGGAAUUCUCAUACAACAAUAGUUACCAAGCUAGCCUGAAAAUGGCGCCUUUUGAAGCCUUGUAUGGACGUAGAUGCCGAACCCCGCUAAGCUGGUCGCAACAGUGUAUGGACCUGACCUGGUCAUGGAGGCCGAAGAAAAAGUAAGAGUUAUUCGUGAAAAUCUCAAGGCCGCCCAGUCUCGACAAAAGAGCUAUUCCGAUCAAAGAAGAAGACCUAUCCAAUUUGAGGUUGGGGAUUUUGUAUACCUGCGGGUUUCACCGACCAAAGGCGUACAACGUUUUGGAGUAAAAGGAAAGUUGGCUCCGCGCUAUAUUGGUCCCUAUGAGAUUGUAGAAGUUUGUGGACCCGUAGCGUAUCGAGUUAAACUUCCAGAGAAGAUUGCAGCGAUACACGAUGUUUUCCAUGUCUCACAACUCAAGAAGUGCAUUCGGGUUCCAACUGAAAUCAUCGCCUCGGAAGAAUUGGAGAUUGAACCCGAUUUAACAUACAAGGAGUAUCCUGUUAAGAUCCUUGACCGGAAGGAAAGACAUACUCGUAGGCAAAUGGUAAAAAUGUACAAAAUUUGGUGGAGUAACCAUACGGAAGAUGAAGCGACCUGGGAGACGGAAGAGUAUCUCAACACUAACUUCCGCGGUUUUCUUUUCGACCAGGAAGGUACGUUGCACCGGCCACACUAGUUCCUUUCUGCACUUGAAUCUCGGGGCGAGAUUCCUUUAAGGGGGGUAGGCUGUAACAACUCUACCUAAAUUAAGUGCUUUUAAAUAUAAACCAGUGGCUAAUCACUAAGUUAAAGAAGUAAAAUGACCAUUUUAACCCUAAGAAGCUCUUUUUGGAGUUUGAAAUAAAACUUGGAAUUUUAUAUGCAAACUUAAAAUUUUGCCCAAAUAAGAGUUGUAAAACUUUCAAUUUCAAACAACUUUUGUUAAAGGAACUUUGACUAAUUCGGAGUGGGAGGAAGUCAAAAACAGCAAUCAAAACCGGAGUACUAAAGAACCCUAUAAACCUCCUAAGUCCUGGUUUUCAAAUUUUCCCUCCAACUUUGCAAGCAUUUAUCUCACGAUUUUGUAUCUAAACUCAAGUCAGGCUCUUAAUAAAAGUUGUAGUCCCUCAAGUGUGUUCCAACUUUGUUACACUAACCCAGGUCCAAAUCGGGCCAGAACCUGUUCACAAUCUUGGUCAAAGUGAGGUAAAACAGUCAACUCAUCCCCUGAGCCCCACAACGCUAAGUCUGAAAAACUGCUCAGAGUGCACCUCUUGGCGAGGGCGUUCCUCCAAAUUUUUGAACUAAACUCAAGAAAUAACCUGAAUAAAAGUUUAAGUCCUCAGUUUGGAGAGCAACUCCUUCAAUAACACUUCAGUCUAAUUCAACUUGGAAGCUGCCCUAAAUUCGACUCAAACAUAGCUAAGUUCCUGAAAUUCCACCUCUCCGGCCAAAAUUGGCUAAGUCUGGAUUUCCAGAUUUUUAGCAAACUUUGGCACGAGAUAUCUUCAAAUCCUUUCACAAUCUAAACCAGCACCUUAAACCAAGUUUGAACUACGUCCAGAGUUGAACAAGUUUGUUUAAAGGAGUUUUGGAAGAUGUGUUGCAAAAUCUUAAGUUAGGAUCUCCCAAAGCCGGUCGGGCUUGCUGCCCGAAGGGGGCCUCGACGCCCGCGCGCCAGAGCACGUUCGCCCGCGCGCCACGCGUCGCGUGGCCGCCGGCCACCGGCAGUUCGCCGGCGCCCUAUCACCGGCAAGACAACGAUAGGGCAAGGGCCACGGCGCCCAACCCGCGCUUGCGACAGGACGGUGCGAAUGCCGGGCUAGCGAACCGCCGGCCGCGCGGGUGUCCUUUUCCCCCUGCCACGGCUCUGCUCCGCCAACCGUGCUCCGCCCGUCCGCGGGAGAAGCCGCCACGCCGAUGACAUCCCGCGCCUCCGCCCGCUCGCCCAACCCCAAUGGUAGCCCUCCGCUUCGCCCGCCCGACAGACCGGAAGCCUCAGACACGCAUCGCCCAAGGCCAAUCCCCGCCGGAGACCACUCGGAGCUCCGACUCCUCUGCCCAAUGGCGCCGCUGGCCAAUGGCCGCCUCGCCCGCGCACCCGCCGCACCUGGCCUUAUCCUUCCUCCACCAGAGCCCCGCCUCGACCCUCCGCUCCACCGCUGCCCUAUAAAAAGGUCCCUCUCACCGGCAACGCCACCCUUUGCCACCACCCACAAUCGCGCCACCGCUUCCUCCUCUGCGCCGCCACUAAUCUUCCGUGGAGCUCACCCCUCCGCGCCACCCCGCACUCCGGCGACUUCACCGCUUGCUUUGCCAACCCACCGCGCACGUCUCCGAGCAGCUCGUGGCCUCCCCGACGCCGCCGAUGCGCCGGAACGUCGCCUGCACCGCCGCCAGCCAAGCUCUGUUGCCGCCGCCGCGUUCCGAUCCCCGUCGGCCAUCUCCGUCGCCCCAACCCCGCCAAACCGAGCUCAGGUGAGCCCCCGCACCUCUCCGGCCACUUGUUGCCCCAUCCUCGCCGGCGAACCGCCGGGGAUUUCCUCACCGCCGCCGCGCGCGCCCCGGGGACCACAUUGCAUCGUCCCCAUUCUUUCCAGGGGCUUGAGCGCAAAACUCAAGGACCCCUGUGUAGUUAAACCUUAAACCCAGGGGCUUGCUUGCAAGUUUGCCACGGCUUUUCUUUUAAAUAAUAGGCAGAAAUAUGGUUGAACUUUGUAAAUGCCCAGUAAAUCGUAGAAAAAUCAUAAAAAUGCCAAACCACUUUUGCUAGGAUCCUUGCUCUGUCUAGUUCCUAAGAAAAAUAAGUUUGCUCAUGUUAAUGUUGUAAAUAAUAUCCUAUGCUUUUAAUCAUGUUGUAGGCCUUUUAAAUCCUAAUAAAUAGAAAAGUGGGAAAAAUGUGGAACCAACUCUGUGAUGCUUGUUUCUAUGUGUAGAAGCUCAGAAAAAUGGUUCGGGCUCUGGUCUAGCAUUUUAAGUCACUGUUUCGACUUUAAAUUGGGAAUCUAAAUAUAAAUCUUCCUUUUUGCAUAAGUUUUGAUCUAGAGCUCAGAAAAAUGUGAAACUAGUUGGGUUAAUUUUGUUUUGCUGUGAAGUUUGCUGGAAAAAUAUAAAUUGUUGUGCAAAUCAGAAAGAAAAACACCUUCCUUGCUAAGCAUGUUUAAUUAAGAAAAGAAAAGGAGUAAAUAGUAACCUUCUCCAAAAAUUAUGAAAAAUUCACCAAAGCUCCUGUAACAUACCCUUAACACACUGCUUAAGUUUCACCCUCUGUUGCACAGUAACUUUGAAGAUGGAAAAAGUUAAGCUCAGUUUACCUUUAAUAAUAAAAUGCAUGUAACUUCUUUUUAAGUCAUCCUUUGGCCCCCAAACUUUUACAGUAACCUAGUGAUGGCUUAAGUGAGGUGCUGUAAUUUUAUCAAUGCCUUUAACUACUAUUUGGAUAUGAAGUCAUUUUGGUUAAUUAAUCAACCUAAAGGAAUAAAAGGAGAGCGCAAAUUCUAAUACGAUAAAUAAGUGGACACUGAAAGAGGUACAUCAAAACAUUCAGAAGUAAGUAAUUAUUCCAAUGCACCCAAACCACCCAACACGACCUUUCACACUCUUUAUGCAACUCUAAAUGCAAGAAAGCUAUAUAUGUACACAAUCGCCAUUCAACGCGAACUCAAGUUUAAAACGACCACUUUCGUUUGAAGUUAAAAGAAAGUAAACCUCUCCAAAGUGUUUGUGGCUGUUGUGACUCUUGUCUUAAGCCAUGCCUUGUGUCGUUGAAUAAACGCGCGAGUCCAACUAAAUUUUUGCAUGUGCAUGUCGUAUAGAAGCAAAUCUCGCCGACGGAACCUACGAGCUCCACCCGGCACCAGAGAAAGACCCCGCUGCGGAGCUUCACCACUUGGAAGGCGAGCCCAAACCGGAGCAAGAUCCUAAGGACCCGCUAACUUUUCCUGAAGGCAAGCCCCGGAGCAUAAAUUCCUAUAUUUGAAUACUUGCAAUAUUAUUGAACACUUUGAUUGCGCAUUUACGUUUAUAGGAGUUGUAAUGAAACCUUAGAUGCAUGUACUAGUUGCUAAAGUCGAGUAGUUGCAAUGCUUAAUAGGUUCCGGUAAAAGUCGAGUGAUUUCCUAUCACUCGCGAGUUAUAAGAGUUGAAUGUUUACUUAUGUUGCAACUAUAAGGACGAUGGACAGGGUCGGGCUUAUGUUCGAUACUUGGUGAUUUUCCCCGUCUGUCUAAAGGAAAUUUAUCUAAGGUCGAAACGUGUCGGCGUUCGUGAUCAAGUGUUUGAAAGUACUAAUCUCAUACCUAGUAUGGGAUGGGGAAGCCUAGUACCUGAUUGAACUGGGGCGUGGCAUACUCCCCCGGCUGUCCUUGGAACACCGUUCCCAUGGUGCAUCAUGUGGGUGCAAGUGCGGUUAUAGUACGGCAGAGGCCGGGAUUAUGGAGCAUUGCAUGCCAAUGGCAAUUGGCCCUGACACGUGCCUAAGGGAUUGAUGGGGACGGCUGACAAAUGAAGCGACCCUUCGUGGUGCGCAGAUGUCGUGAGAUUAGGUUCGCCAUGCAUGGUUAAUAAAUUCAAAUCGAUUCGGCUGCCUCUCACAGUUUGGGACUACUUGAUCGCUAUUCUGCACUAAGUAACAAUGAAACAUGAUUAUGAGAUUAAGUUGAUGCUUGUUAUUUAACUGCUUGGAAAUCAUGCUUGUUUAGCAUAAGUGGCUAAUCUAGAAUGGUUAAAGAACGUAGAACUUGAGCUAAAAUAUUGAAAGUAAGGACCGAUUGUAGACGCUUGUGGCAAAGAAAUCGCAGAGCCAGGAAGCCUUGCAUGUCUAGGUCUUGGUAAAGCUUUUCACUCGACGGGUCAGUCUUGUUGAGUAUUAGUUGCUCAGCCUUGUUGUGGCUUAAUCUUUUCCGGUGAUGUCAAUAGUUUGGUUGCGGGCACCACUUGGCCUACCCAGCUCCCUCCGGGCUGGACAGUCGAGUGGGAUCCCUCCUCGGACGGCGAGGGAAGGGAUUUUUGAUGUCAUGAUUGGCUCCGUCGUGAUGUCAUGUAUCGACGUUUAGCUUCCGCUUUUUUUAUCUGACUUUUCGAACCUUGCAACUUGUUUGAAUUUUCAGAAACUCUGAUGUAAUAAUUUGUGAAACUAAGUAAUGUGAUGGAAUGUUGUAAUCUCUGUGCUACUCACCUUCGUGUGAGCGAUACUUCUCGAUCCUAUUUAGGUGGUUCAUCGGAUGAAAUCCGACGGUCGACCAGGUUGACUUGCUUAAAGUGCAUGAUCGUGUGUCAGGCGACUUCAAUGCAUUUUAGUCAGGUUAAUUUGGGCGGUUCCGCCACAGCAAGCCCCCGAGGACGAGGACCGGCAAAGCCAUGAACGCACGCUGACCAGAGUUAGGCGUCCAGCCCCCGAGCAUGAGCGCAAGGACUGGUGGAAGCACGUCGAGUUGCCUCCCGCCCUAAGCCGAGGCAGAGAGGUUGGCUGGGCGACGGGCGACACGUGGAGUCAUCUACGGUACCUAGCCGCCGAGCCUGGGAGCAGGACGAGUUGCAAAAGCAUGCCAAGUUGCCUCUUGCCCUGAGCUAGCAAGGUCGACCGGGUGACGGGAGGCACGCCAAGUCAUCUGCGGUGCCCAGCCCCCGAGCCUUGGAGCCGGCCGAGCCACAGAAGCACGCCAAGCCGCCUCCCGCCCCGAGCUAGAGAGGUCAGUCGGGCAAUGGGAGGCACGCCGAGUCGUCUGCGGUGCCCAGGCCCCGAGCCUAGGAGCCGGACGAGCCACAAAAGCAUGCCAAGUCGCUUCCUGUCCUGAGCUAGAGAGCUCGGCCGGGUGACGGGAGGCACACCGAGUAGUUUUUUGAGCUGUAAAAGGACAAUACAAUCAUUAUGUAGCAUAAUGUAGAUUAUUUAAUCAUUGAACAACUCGGAAGUUUAAUACGCUGUAGAAGUAAACUCUUGCUAAUCCUGCUCUUGUAGGCCAAGUAAAUUCCCCAGGUAGUUAGCUUAUUACGUUCAAGCACCUAGCCCUACUAACCACUGCUCAUGGAGAGGAUAGUUUAUCUCAGGCUAUAGCGCUGGGGCUGACCUGAUGCUCGCAUAUAGGAGACGCGCAGGAUGAGUCAAGGUUUCACGGAUUAAGGCGUGUGCUACCCGAGUACUUUAGCAACCGUUAACAGGGACGGAUAAGCCGCAAAGCAACUGGAGCUAUGCAAAAAAGCACCAGCAUGAGCUGGGCACCCAUGGGGUGUAGCCCCCGGCCGCCCGUGUAGUGGGUGGACCAAGCUGUAUAAGUAGGCACGGUGCGACCAAGGUGGUCGGCGAAAGUCACGAGGACAUAGGAGAGCUGAGGUGGUCGACAAAAGUCACAGGAACAUGGAGGAGCCGAGGUUUAUGUAGGUAUACGGAAGUCGUAAAAUAUUUAAUUAUAAAUAAGACUUAUCCUUAUUUGUGGUCAAGUCAAAAAACCCGCGUGUCAUCUUCGCGUUUAGGCUUAGAAGCCCCUGAGCGUGGUCGUCGGAUAGUUGUUGGUGAAGCAAACUAGUUGGGCAUGCCCAACUAAUUCAUGUCGAGGCCGAGUUGUUGGAGUUGUUAGCGGCACGUUUGUGGUAUGCUACUGCCGAGUCGAUGCGGCCAUCGGGUCGUGGCCGGCUGGCCGCCACGCUCACAGUACAACAUGCCUAGGUUGUGCUGCCAAACCAAGGGUGCAUGUAAAUCUUUCCGAAGCUUGUAAGGAAGCCCUCACAUAUUAAGGAACUCUAUACCUAAUACCAUCAUGGUUGUUUUGCAAAAAAGUCUCUCAACUUUUUUGUAAUCAACCCGCAGUCUUUGGAAUGUCUUGAAGAUUGUGCAAAAAGAUCCCCAAACUUUACUGCAAUUGGCCAUCGAAGCUCCCACAGCGUGCACCUAUGCCACAUGCGGUGCGGACGGGUGUGCCGGCUGCGACUGCAAGCUCCUCGCUGCGGCAGGGACCAGGUCGAGCAGCGACAGCAAUGACGAAGGGGAGUAGUCUGCGUCUGCGUGCCAUGCCACCGUCACCGGGCAAGCUGUGGUAGCGGCGGAGUGGGAGAGUGAGUCCAUUGGCGUGUGGAGGGUGCCGUGGGGCAGGUGGGUGGCGGAGAUCUGCAACCCACACCUCGCUGUGUGCAAGUGGCUCAGCACCUUCGACACCACUGAGGACGCCGCGCGUGCCUACAACGUCGCCACCGUCGAGUUCCGAGGCUGCUGUGCCAAGCUCAACUUCCCCGACGAUGCGGCUCUCGCACCUGCACCUUCCUAGGUGCUGACCUCGACAUACCAACACCACCACCACCUGCCGCAGCCGCUGCUCGAGAGCCUGCACGAGACCUGCGGGUCGAACGCAUCCUCAUCAGUGGACGUGGCUCUUGUGGUAGCGGCACCGACUGGGCAGCACGACACGAGGCCGGUGCCGAAGGAGCAGGACAUAUGGGACACGCUAAACGAGUUCAUGAUGAUGGAUGACGGUAGCUUCUGGUCGCCCAUGCCAUGAUCGUCAUAUUCUCCUCUUGUCUUCACUUUCGUUGCUUAGCAGAUAAUGGUGGUCAGCUGCCCUCUAGUCUGUCGUCAAUCGCCAGCCAUCCAUUGCUUUUAUAUGGUUUUACACUAGCUUUUGGGCUUUGAUCACACCUCCACACCCAUACGAAACGACUAGCUAGAGCGAUGUUGAUCUACUGCCUACCGCGCGCUAGGGCGAGCAGCUACUCACUCGGGCUGCAUGCCCUACCCACCACCUGGACCUAAGAGGUGAAGGAGAGAGGAGGAAGGGGGAAGGAAACAAGGAGCCGAGUGCCUCUUUGUAGUCAACCAAGUAGAGCCAUAUGCUAGUGAAGGCAUGGCGCCAGCGAGGGGGGCGCAGCGGCAGUCGGCAGGCAACGCAAACAGGGGCGGAGGUCGAGACCUCACACCCCCCUCUCAAUGACGUCCAUCCCCUUCAGAUCCGGAACUAAAGCCUCCACACCUAGCAAUUGGGGGCUCGAUUUUGCACUUGAUUGGAACGAUUUGGAGUGGAUUAUAGAAGGGAGGUGGAUGGAAAUGAGAAGAAGAGGAAAACGCACUCCUGCUCAUGGUGGCCAGAGGCACUGUGGCCUAGCGCUCAAAGCGGGAAUGAGGCUAGGCACGGGAAGGACGAGCGUUUGCCUGGGCGACGACGAGGAUGGCAAGAUGCGCAGCGCUUAGACGACGGUGAAGAUGGGGCAAGAUGUGGGUGGCACCGAUGGACGAAGAGGCAUCGACUGGUUAGAUGAUAAUGAGUACGGGGAAAAUUGAAUGAAUUUAUAGAGCGGUGGUUGAGCGGUGAUUUUUUUUGUUUCCAUGUGUGGGUCCCACGUAAUAAACAGAUGGCAUCAAACCACCCACAAAUAUCUUCUACUACUGUACUCGGACACCGCACCAACAUAUGGUGAAGUGAAGCUAACAUAUUAGAAACAAGCGAAUAAUAAUGUGAGAGUAAGUAAAGACCUGUAGUAACGUACGGGUAUUUCUGCUAGUAAGAAAAAAAAUUGUUAGUAAGCACCGAGCAACGUAGGAGAUCUACUGGAUGGAAUAGAUUAAAUAAUAAAGGGAAGGGAGAAUUGUUCUCUUUUUUUUCCGUGGCAGAUCUGACGUGUGUGCAUGCAACAAGUUGAGGUCGACGUGUCGUGCUAAAUCAACCAGAUCGUACCGGGGCUGGAUCAGGCGAGCUUGGUUGUGGCCGGGAUGAGGCCAAUAAGGGCGCCGCCCUUGACCUUGGCCUCCUAUUCCUCGCGGAUCUUCUGCAUCUGGAGCAUCCGCUCCAUGAUGAGCUUGUACUGGCACUUCUCGCAGGCGUGGCGCUCGGGCUCGCACUUCCAGCGGAGGUAGAACUGGGAGGUGCACGCACUGGUCAUGGUAGGCGAGUGGAACCCGAGCCUCCGCCAUCUCCACCUGCGUGACGAUCUGGAGCUUCGAGGAGCCGAACUGCACGCCGCCCGCCGCCUCCAUCUGUCACUUUGUUCCCCUCUCUCUCACUGGCGAGGUCGUUCCGUCGAUAUAUGGGCGCUGCGGGUUUGGUGCGGCGUGGGUGGGUAGGGUGCAGCAAGGAUGUGAGGAACCCUCUCGGAUAGAGAGAUUGCUGACCUACUGGGUAAGCGGUGUGAUGAUCCUUGGAUAGAGAACUUGCUCCACCAGAGUAAAUCUGACAGAUGCCGAGCUGGCGGCGGGCACCAAGUCGAAGUCCACUGACAUGCUCCUGAAGCGAAGCUGGAUCGGGUUGGUGAGAAAGUCCUUCAUGCUCUCAGGGAAAGUAAUGCCGGGGCGGGAUGCAAUCAAGCUCGCUAGGGAGGAUCUCACAAUCAUCCCUACCUGGCGCGCCAACUAUUGGAUUUAUAAGCCCGAUAGUCCACCAGGGGGUUACCCAAGUUGUUGAUUUGUAGGUGAGGGCGAUUGCGAAACCAAGAACUCUAAGGUGAUCGUGAAAACACGAAGGGACACGAAGGUUUUAGAUAGGUUGGAACCUCCGAAGAGUAAUACCCUACGUCCUGUAUGCUGGUUUGUAUUGCUUGAGAUUGAUAUGAUUGUUGGGAUACCCUUGGGGGUGCCCUUGGCCGCUUUAUAUAGGCUGACGAUCAAGAGUUACAAGUCAGUUUGAAUCUAAUCUACUCGAUAGUUACAUGGAAAGUAAUCUGAGUAGGACUAUAAUACGCGUUCCAUGAUAUUCGGCAUGUUUGAAUUGUCUUGUUGCUUUGACGUGCACUCCAAGUAACUUCAUGUCCUCAGCCCGUACGCCUUGGUCGAGUGGGCCCUACUUGUCAGGUAUGACCAGUAUCCUGAGGUACCCAUAUCUCUCACCUUGGUGCUCCGGCGAUUAGGGUCGGCAACGAGGAUGGGGAUUGGAAGAGGAGAUCGAGGGGACUUUAUGGAGAUGCUUACCGGCGGCGAGGUGGACGGAUUCCGGCUAGAAUUUGGCUGGCGGUGGAAGAACACGGCAACUGGCUCAGGUCUUCGCGAGUGAUGGUACUCCGGCGGUGGAGCGGCGACGAAGAAUGGUGGCAGAGCUGCUCCUCGAUGUCACGGAGCUCCCUAAGGCUCUAGCUUUCUUCGAUAGUCGACGGGCAUAGUGAAUCGGCCAGAGAAGGCUAGCAGCAGCUCCUAGCUCCGGCGGAUGUGGGGGAUGGCGGCGCUCGUGCAAGUAGGGAAGAGCGGCGGUGUGAGGCAGGGCAGUAGCAGGGGCACUGUCUCGACUUUUAUAGGUGUGUGGGUCCGCGCCUGCCUUGGCACGCACGCCGAGGUUCGGCGGUGGCGACGCCCAAGUGCAGCUACGCUUGGCCUUGACCCGCUAGUGGCCGAUGGGCCUAGCGAGCCUAGCCGAGCCAUCAGCUGGGCCGAGUCGGUGCAGGUUGGCUGGAGAGGGUCGGGCUACAAAGACUUGGCCCGAUCGAUUAGGAUUUUGCUUUUUUAGAAAUGAUUUCUCAUGAAAGAAAAAUCUAGAAAAAUUCUAGAUAAUUAAUUUAAAUAACGAAAAAAACCCUAAAAAUCCAAAAUUCCAGGAAAAAUCCUAGAGAUAGUUUGGGACAUGAGGAGUCCAAAUAAAAUACUUGGAGCUCAUGAAAAGGAUUCUAGAACCUUCCAAAAAUUGGAUUUAGCUAUAGAAAAAAUGAGAAUAAAUCUCAAAAAAUCUGGAAAUUCUCAUAAGAACCUAAUCGGCAUCUAAACGCAUUCCAAAAUAUUUGCACUUAUGAAAUACCAAGAUGCAUCGGUAUGAAUGCAACACAUACGGAGAACCAUUAUAUUUAAUUCAGAAAAACACUCAAUUAUUUCCCUAUACUAAAUUUCCUGUCAAGAAAAUAAAUGUUGGAAAAAUUUUAAAAUUAUGAGAAAAACAUUGUUUAAUUAUUAUUUUUAAUCUGAAAGUUCAAAAAUUUUAAGGUGUGGCAGAUACCCUCAGGUUUACAGAAUUUGACAUCCAUGUGCAAAUUGGAUGUAUCCUUCAAUGAUCUGCAAGGUGAAGUGCCAAUAGGGCUUUUUUUUUGCAAAUGCAUCUUACAUGUCGGUUUAUGGAAAUGAUCAGCUUUGUGGUGGAAUACGUCAACUUCAUUUAGCUCCAUUCUCCAUGUCCAGUGCAAAAAAGAAAAAAAAGGAAAUUUGUCGAAAACCCUUGUGAUCACCCUAACAUCAAUCAGUGCAGUUGUAUUCUCAGUUUCAGUACUUGCUGUAAUUGUGUUGAUCUGUAAGAAGCUUAGGAAAAGGCAUGAAAGUCAACUCAUAUCCACAACUGAGGAACGGUAUGAAAGAGUUUCUUAUCAUGCUUUGUCAAAUGGGACCAAUGGAUUUUCAGAGGACAAUUUACUUGGACAAGGAAGCUAUGGCAUGGUUUAUAAAUGUACUUUACAUGACCAGGGUACUACUGUAGCUGUAAAGGUGUUUAACAUAGAACAAUCUGGGACUUUUAGAAGUUUUGUCGCUGAAUGCGAGGCACUCAGAAGGGUGCAUCACCGUUGUCUCGUAAAGAUCAUCACUUGUUGCUCAAGCAUCAAUCACCGGGGUCAAGAGUUCAAGGCACUAGUUUUUGAGCUCAUGCCAAAAGGUAGCCUAAAUGGUUGGCUUCACGCAGAGUCUGACACACUUACCCCGACAGAUACUCUGAGCCUUGAACAAAGGCUACACAUUGCUGUCGAUAUCAUGGAUGCUUUGGACUAUCUUGAUAAUCACUGUCAGCCAUCAAUCAUUCAUUGCGAUCUCAAGCCAAGCAACAUCUUUCUUGCGGAAGACAUGAGUGAGUGCCCGAGUUGGAGGUUUUGGCAUAUCAAGAAUCCUUCCAGAAAGUGCUAGUAAAACCCAGCAAAAUUCGAAUAGCACAACUGGAAUAAGAGGCACCAUUGGUUAUGUUGCACCAGGUAAUGAAAGAGAUGGUUUUGGUAUUUGAAAAAUGUUCUUAGUUCUUAUGUAUACAUGAGCUGCUGACCUUUGGCUUUUUUUUUUCCAAUAAGAGUAUGGUGAAGGUUCUUCUGUCUCAACUCAAGGUGACGUUUAUAGCCUCGGCAUAUUGCUGCUUGAGAUGUUUACUGGAAGGAGCCCAACGGAUGAGAUAUUCAAUGAUUCUUUGGAUUUGCACAAGUUUUCAGAGAAUGCUCUUCCAGAGAGAAUAUGGGAUAUAGUUGAUCCGACAAUAUGGAUGCACACAGAUGCCUAUAACAGCACUAUAAGAAGUGGAAUUAAGAAUUGCUUGGUUUCUGUUGUUUCUCUUGGAAUAUCAUGCUCGAAGAAACAACCUAGGGAGCGGAUCCCGAUUCAGGAUGCAGCCAUUGAGAUGCACGCUAUUAGAGAUUCGUAUCUCAAGUUUGCCAGAUCUCUUUUGGUGGAGCAUGGAGUAGUAGCAACAACUCACAGUGAUUUCCCACAACAGUGAAUACAUAGGACUGAAAAUGGGCAAGAUGUCUGCAGGUGAUCAGUUUACCUGAAAUAACUGAAGAUGUAUGAAGCUUCAGCUUUAUAAUUCGUCCUUGCAUUUGUUUGCAUCAGAUAUAUGGAAGUAUAAAAUAAGUUUAGAAAAUGUUUCAAAAUAGAUUAGAUCAAGAGGUUUUACUUGUCGUCUGUAUGACACAUUUUUUGUAGAGAAUUCAGUAAUAUGUAUGAUUCAUAAUACAAUCAAUGCUCUGCAAAUUUCAGAUAGCACAAUUGGAAUAAAAAGCUCAUUCAUUGAUUAUGUUGCUCUAGGUGACUCAACUUAUUGUGAUGUUCACUGUAGAUUUCUCCAUGGUCCAAACGACCAUUGUGAUCAGUUAUGUUUAUGCAUUUUGUAGACUUGUUAAGUCUUUCCCUAACUUGCUGACAUAUCAGCCGGAGCAGAGCACUCUGCCAUUCUGCGCCACUCGCCUCUAGGCGGCGCUUGCCGCUUGGUGGCUGCGGUGGCGACCGGCGGCAUCCGUACCUGCUCUGUCGGAGGCUGAGGGGCACAAUUACGUCUUGGAGUCGCCACCGCGCGACCUUCGGAGCUCGCCCAUGCCUCGUCGGUACGAGCUCAGUCGCGCGGUGAAUGGCAUGCGCAUCUGGGGUCCCGUCAGCUGCAGGUGCAGAUGGGUAGAGAGCUUAGCUGCGCUAGGUCUUCAGAAGAUGUUGAGUGGGCUGGAUGGGGCUUUGCGGCUCUGAAUGGCGACGCGGGCAGGACGACGACGCUGGACGCGUGGGGAGGAGACGACCUGAACCAGGGGCAUUUCGGAUAAUAGUCGGAUCGCGAUCAAUAAUCGCAAUCCAAAUUAGGGGGCUAUUUACAAAUAAUAGGGGGUAUUCCGUAAAUAUUCGGUUCGCGAUCAUUAAUCGCGAUCCAAAUGAGGGGUUAAUUGAAAAUAUGAUGGGGGUGUCUUUUGAAAUUCCGGAUUGCGAUCCCAUCCUCCGCCGCGGCUCGCCGGAGCGCCGCCAGACGCCGGCCGUCCCUUGGGGUACCUCUUCUUCGUUCCGUCUGUCGGAGCCCUAAGACGCGGUCGGUGUUUUAUCUGACAAGGAACCCUGAAGUCCGAACUAACUGAAGAAAGACAUGAUGCUGACCUGGAAGAAGAAGACGGCCUCGCCAUGGCCGGAUGCGGCGCGGUGGAAGGACAGUGUGUUGGCGGAGCGGAUGUUGUCCGACGUGAACUCGCCAGCGGCGUGGUCCACCACAUUCCGUCGACGGGCGGUGCACUUGCUGUCGCCUGUCGGCUACUUCCAGGCAGUAGCUGAGCUUCAGAGUUCAGACAGGGUGCUUGUGCUUGCAACAAGUUCAGAACGAUGUCAUUGCUUUGAUGCAGAGGAUGGAGCAAACCGGUUGCAAAUUGGAUUCUGAUACAUAUAACUUAAUAUUGAACCUUUAUGUCGAUUGGAAAUAUGAGAAGGGGUGCCCCAAAUAUGGGAUGAGAUGGAGAGGAGUGGAUCAGGCCCAGAUCAACGAUCAUUUACUAUUAUGGUUCAUGGUCUUCAUUCCCAAGGAAAGCUUGAUGAGGCUCAACAAUGAAGUCAAGAGGGUUGAUCCCUGAACCAAGGACCAAGAUACUGGUGAAAGCUAUACAUAUGAAGAAAGAUGGGGCUGUCACAGAAGAUCAGUCUGUAAAUAUGACAGGGAAGAAUCUAAAACUGGAUCCACGAUCUAGACUAUUCCAUGUUCAUAAAUAGUUUGCUGUCAGAUCUUACUUCUAUAACCUGAACAGAGGAUUGCUGGGCACGUAUUAUGUGUCAAAAGAAUCUCUUCUACCAGUGUCCUGAUCACAAUGGCCACACCUUGGGCUACAAUAAAUCAUCAGCAAAGUGUGUUGGCAUUAUGUAUCCCAGAAAGUUUUGCUCAGACUUUCAAUGCCAGGGUAUGUUUUUUAUGUCUGAUAUGGAUCAAUUAUAUUGCAAGUACUGUAUUACACCCUCGUAUUAUGAAGGUUAUGUGAAAUAUGACAGAUGUUUGUUUAUUCAUUUGUUAUGCAUGGCUGUGUCUACUAUCUAGUUGUUGGCUUGUUGCCAACAUAUGCAGCAGCAGGUAGCUUCAGCCGCUCAGAAGCCCAAAUGAAGAAUGGUCCAGGCAGAAUAGCUAGUCUAGACCCAGAAAGCUUAGGACAUGUCUUGCCAGCCUGCAGUUUUGUACUCGUAGCACCAACCAUCUCCGGGUUCUGGCCGGUUAUAUACAUGGUCUGGAAUGGGCAUCCGCUGAUCGAUUGAAACCUUGAACUGCUUCCGUGUUUGUCUUUUACCAUCUAUAUAGUAUGGUUAGUCAACGGCAUGCAAUACACCCAUGCAUAUGAUUGCAGUAGGAUGACAUGGCGUGACCAGAACCCUUCUUUUGCCAGUUUUUUAUUCUUAUACACGGCCAACAACAGGGAGUUGCCGAUUGCAAUACACCCAUGCUACUAACGCAGCAGGGAGUUGCAUGCUAAGCAGUUCAGCGUAGGUGGUGAGUUCUCAACUCUGAUAUGGUUUAUGGAAGAACACUGUCACGGUGUCACCUAGCCGGUUGGAGGCCAACCUCUUACUAGGGACAGCAAUGGCCCUGUCCACUGUUUCGUGGCUGGUAUUAUUACCCCUAUGCAGUGAAUAUGACAUGUGGAUCUAUGUGUAUAUUAUGUCGCCAGAAGAACAUUAUAUGAACCGUUGAGCCACCUUUGAUUCUAUUAAUGUGUCAUGGUCAAUUGAUGUCAAACUCUAUUAUCUUCAAGUCUUAUUGUAUUGAUAAAAUCACGAUGCUGCUACUGCCAUUUUGAUGUUUAUAAAAGGGUAUUGAGAACCUGGUGGGUAUCCAUUCGAUGCGCAGGGGUGAGGGUGGGGAAAAAUGAGUGUAAAGGACAGGGAUACAGUAUUUAGAAAGAUGGGGCUGCCACAGAAGAUAGUCUCCAAGUACGGCAGGGAAGAAUCUAAAAACUGAUUCCUUGAUCAAGACUGUCCCGUAUUCAUAAAUAGUUCACUGACAGAUCUUGCUUCCAUAUUCUGAACAGCUGAUGCUGGGUACAUAGGAGGUUAACCGGUCAGCGGAUCGAAGGAAAAAAAAAUCUUGCCUGUCAGUGUCCACAAUGGCCUCAUCUUGGGUUAGAGACAAUCAUCCCUAAAGAAUCAUAUUGCCGGAUAAGGUUAUCAGUGAUUGGUAGGUGCAGAUCCAUGCUCAUCCUAGAAACAAGCCAGGGCUGAAUGCGCCACUCAUUUUAGGUGCUUGGAUGUUGUGACCGAAAUGAUCGUGUGUUUAAUGGAGUUUCCCAUAGUGACUAGCGUACAGGCUGUCCUCGUAUUCGAGAAAAAAAAUAAUGGGCGAAAUGUUUUCACCCAGGUAAUUGUUGCAUUGUAUGAAUAGGCUUAGUGGUUGGUGGGUGCAGAGUAUGAAUGUGCUUGUACUGUGACACAAGAAGAUUUAUCAUAUCUAUGUAUGAAUUAGUAUUAAAUCUGCUACAUAAAUAUCUUCUCUUAUCUCAUUGUAUGUGUAUAUAUGACACAGAAGCACAUGUAUAUCAGCAUUGUAGAGAGAGAUGAGAGAGAAGCUUAUCUGCUUUUUGGAGAUAAAUAUUCAAAUUGUGGUGUAUGAGAAGGAUAGAAUUAUUCUAUCAAAUUGUUUAUUCAACAUCUAAAAAGAUUCCAUGUUUAGUCAUCUAUAUCGGCAUUGUAGAGAGAGACUAGUGUUCAACUGGUUGGAAGGAUGAGAGAGAGAGGAGAGAGAGAGGAUGAAUAGUGUUCAGCUGGUUGGAAGGAUGAGAGAGAGAGAGGAGAGUUUCGAUGAUAGAGAGAUUAGUGUUCACCUGGUUGGAAGGAUGAGAGGGAGAUGAGAGAGUUCGGAUGAGGAGGUGGAGAGUUCGGAAGAGAGAGAGGUGAGAGUUCGGAUGAGAGAGAAACAGCUUAGAAGGAUGAGAGAGAGAAAGUGAUAUUUAGCUGGAUGGUGGAGACUUCAUAUAUUACUAACUAGCAAGGUGUCCGUGCGUUGCUACGGUGAAACGACGUUGCUUAGCACGCGAUGUUUUUUAUCGUGUCGUGUAGCGCACCAUAUUUUUUAUCGUGUUGUGUAACUUUUUUAUUUUAGUAGUAUUAGACUUUUCAUAUAUAAAGGGUCACGUGAGUGUGUCCAUAUCCCAACCGUGCGGAAACCGCUUGCCAUCGAACUUGUUAUCUCUUUCUCUAUCUUGAGAUUGGUAUGCUUCUACAGCAAUUCUGCACAAAGAAGGCCCCACUUCGCCCCGUUCCCGCCGUCCGGUUAGUCCCACGCCUACCCUCUCCCUCUCUGAUCCUCGCUGUCGGCUCCUCGAGGUCCAGGUCGGGCUUGUGAUGUAGCGGCCUGUUAUCCUUCCACCAUUGGAAGCGGGUAGUGAUCGCUGCUCUGUGAACCCUGCCUCACGCCGUUCCUACCACUCCAGGUCCAGUGAAGCCUGAGCUUUCGCUUGGACAAACAGCCACUACCAACUUGGAACGGGCAGGGCCAGCAAGGGCAUACAAUGGACCCAAGCCCUCCGCACCCAAACAUCCACACCACUUUAAUGCCUCCACUUGGGUUACAAGCCCGCGCAACCAAGCUCGGUGAGGAUGACUCGUGAGGAUGAACAUUUAAGUUGGUGUGGCGCUGCUUCAGAUGGCGAGGUGGUACUAAUCUAAGGAAUAGGAAAAUUUCACAUGGGUCCCACACCGCACCCAGCCCUAUCCUUAUCCUUUCUCAUCUCUCUAUCGUCCGUCCGGUCCUUAUCCUCUUCAUCUCAUCUCUCUCUCUCUCCCUAUCUCUCUCUCAAACUCUCUAUCUCGCCUACCCCCUCUUUCUCUGGAGAAGGCGGUGCACGGCUGGCCCCAGUGAUGGCCUGGGGGCGCGGGGUGCCAAUAGCGGCCGAGGGUUGUAGGGCUGCGGCGAGGAGCCUCCCAGCCGUGGAUGCGACGGCCUAGCCAUGGGCACCGGGCAGGCGGCUCUGGCACGACCGGCUGGGGCGGGCAGGGAGAGGCGAACAGCAGUGCUACGACGUCACGAAGAGGCGGACGUCGGGCAUGGGCGGGUGAAAGGGGAGACGGGGAAAGAAAGCUAGACCCACCUAUCAAUGCGUUAAUCUUACCUAUUAUUAAACAUCAGGGCCACCUCUCGUUGAUAGAAGUUGGACCAAACAAGAAAAAGUGGGCAGAAGUGUUCCUCACUUUAAUAAUAAUAAUAAUAAAGUAUAGAUAAUGCAUCCAAACAACAUUCGAAAUUUAAUUUUAAAAAAAACUUUCUCGGUACAUCCAAACAAGAAAAUUCAAUUGAAUUAAAUUCUACUAAAUCCAUUUCUUAUGGAAUCUAAUAGCUAGAAUAUGAUUCAUGGGAUGAGUUUCAACUCUAGGGAUCUAAACAUGCCCUUAGUUAUUUCUUAUGUAGCUCAAAUCAGAUGCAAGGUAUGUCCUAACUAAAAAACGUAAGUUACUUUGUGUUAUCUCGUGAAUCAGUGAUUAAUUACUUCCGAUCACUAGUAGAGAAUUGGCUUUCGAUGCGCCCCCUUUUGUCCCGGUUUAAAGUUGGCCCGGGACAAAAGGUUCACCAACCGAGACUAAAGCUCGGUCACUGGUGGGGGGCUCACCAACCAGGACCUUUUAUCCCGGUUGGAAAGGCUAGUGGGAAAAAAAGAUCAUGAGAGGCUUUUUAUCCCGGUUUGAAACACCAACCGGGAUAAAAGACCCAUCUAACUAUAUAGGGGAUGUUACCAACCAGGAUAAAAAGGGUCGAGAGCCUUUUAUCCCGGUUUGUAAUACCAACUGGGAUAAAAGGGGGUCAUUUAUCCCGGUUGGUGUUUCAAACCGGGAUAAAAGGGUCCCAACGAGGUGACUGAAACAUGACUAAAUCCUGAACCCUUUUAUCCCGGUUUGUAAUACCAACCGGGAUAAAAGGGGGUCUUUUAUCCCGGUUGGUGUUUCCAACCGGGAUAAAAGGGUCCCCCACAAGUUAAUACAAAACGAUAACAUCCCCUAUAUAGUUAGAUGUGGUGUGUAGGUGGGAUGGCAAGGAAGCUACGCGCGAGGCUGGAGGUUGUGGGUUCGAAUCCCAUGCAGCGCGCACGCGCAUAUUUCGCGUGGAAAAUCGCGUGACUUGCGACGCGCGUGUGGGGGGCCUCCUGGGAGCUCGGAAUUUCUUUUUUUUGUUUUAUCCCGGAUGGAUUUUCGGAAGAUUUGCACCCUACCAAUCGGGACUAAAGGUCAAUUCUCUACUAGUGAAUCUUAUGUAAAAAGAACUACGAGUUAAAUUCUUUGUCAGAUUUAUACUGACAAGUUACAAGCACAUGCCUCUGCAGUAACAGGCCAGCCCUAGACUAGCGGGCAAACAAAAACAACAUGAUUCGUCAACUGAUCGAAUGUUAAUGACUAUUUUGCUAGGAGAAUGAACAUGAUUCAUAAAAAAAGGGGAGCUACUAACUUGGUCAAGGUCUCCGUCCUCUAGCGUGGCGAAGGGGCCAUCUUGCUCCACUCCACGUCUGCGUGGUUGCUAGGUGGGCGCGACGGCGGCUGCGGAGUGCGGACGGGCGCGUAGAUGUGUCAUUGUUGAUCAGGACAUGCGCUUCUAUCACCGUCUGUGGUUGGCGUCCGCGGCCGAGCGGGUCAAGGUCUCCGUCCUCUAGCGUGGGGAAACAGGAUCUCUUCAAUCAGUGCUUCUACAGAAACGGUGCACGGUCACCACGGACCAACGACAUACCAUGAGAAAAGCGGAGCUAAAUGUUGCAGUAGCAGAGUAACCGGAGACUGGAGAGCACUUGCUGCUAAAAGCUGCCUCUUAUUUUGUAUCGUCUUUAACAGAAGACUUUAAGUCAACCGCCAUUCGAUUCCAAUAUAAACUAGCAAGUUGGCCCGCGAUGAUAGCACGGCUAGAUUUGAUACAAUAUAACUUUUUUAAAUGCUAUGUUAGCUUAGUAUAUUUCUUCGUCCCUCUUGAUUUGUUUUUCAUCCUCUUGAAAUCACUUAGUAUACUUAGGUGCCUUACUCUACACAUUGAGUAUCAAGCCAUAUGUGUAUAUUUGUUUUUUUUUGCAAAUGAACUCCGAUGCCACAUGUGCAUAUGCACGCCUAAUUAAAAUUGCUCACUUGUAACAAAAUAACAAGAGUAGUUGAUUCUGAUCUUAUGUUGCAGUUUUUGCCAACUUUUCCUAGUAUUAUUGUGUUGAGUAGAAAGCCUGUGUAGAAAAAGAUACAAAACAAACAAUCGUGUUAACUACUCCCCAUACUUGCUCAAAUGAUUUUGAAAAAUAAAAACAACCGCGCUCUAAGUCCUAGGUGGUGAUAUUCCUCCUUACUUUCCUCCUCUCGUUUUCCUUGCACAAUCGAGGAUGACAAAUACCACAAACCACUUAGGCUCGAUCAUGUUUCAUCAUCACAUUCCUCAAAUCUUGAUCACGUUGUUGUCUUCAUUAUGCUAGCAGUACACAUCUCUCCGCCUCUUCUCACUGGUAGAGAAUUGGCCUUUAGUCCCGGUUGAUAGGGUGCAUAUCUCUCGGAUAUCCAUCCGGGAUAAACCAACCGGGACAAAAGGGAGGGUCUUUAGUCCCGGGUCUUUUAACCGGGAGUAAAGGUCCUCCUUUAUUUCCCAACCGAGACUAAAGGGUUACCCUUUAGUCCCGGCUGGAUUCCAACCAGGAGUCCCGGCUGGAUUCCAACCGGGACUAAAUGGCGCCUGCAUGGCACUGCCGUGGCGCCUGAAUUUUUCAUGCAUGCAUCACGUACGUAGUACCGCGACCCUUUUAAUUUGUUAAACUUUAGUAGUUGAGAUUUUUUUAGAACGAAAUCAACUAGUAUUUAAACGAAUGGGAUUUGUAAUUAUACAAUUACUAUAUAUGUACACAAUCCUUAUACACAAUUCAUAUACACAAUUCAACUAGCUUAGUACAAAUUGAUCAUAAUUAGCGCGUAUUAUAUAUACAAAUAAAUCAAAGUAUCUGUCUACAAUCUUCCCGUCGUGGUGUUGCUGAUCGGAGUGUCUAAUUGUCGUCCAUCGUAAUAAAAUUCUCCUUUUGGAUUUACCACCUUGUCCAUUAUGAAUCCAAUGAGACUUUCACAUAUUGCCGCUACUCUUUCUUCCUUCAAGAGUCCUUGUUGAAUAUUUAACAUCUAUAAUUUGGAAAUUUUUGAAUGUUACACGAACAAAUACAUAUAAGGAGCUAGAAAAUAAUUAACUAGUAAUAGUUUUAUUUUACGUACUUUAAAGUUGUGCGGCGUCAUCUUCGGUCCCUUGGGUCCCAUAAAACUGUGCAUGUGCUCACAGAUGUAGUAGCCACAUAGAUUAUUUCCGGGUUCCUGUCUUAAGCACUUCAGUGCGGAAAAAAAUAAGUUAUGAAAUAUUCGUAUUAUACAAUGUAAUAAAUGUGCAGACUUCAUACGUACCGGGAAGUCUGUGUUCCAUGUAAGUUUUUCUUUGAAUGGACCUUUGUGUGUCCUUAUGAAUUGUUUCCAUGCGCUGCAGAUUAGAAUAAUGAAUGAUAUAGUGUAACAGGAAUAAAAUUUAGGAAAUAAACUUUUGCAUAUAGAUAAAGGUACAGAAUUAUUACAAGCCUAGCAUGUCUUGCACUUCUUGGUAGUCCACCGGAUCUUUCCUUAACGAAUCGAAGACAGUGACGUGGCUUCUUUCAGGCUCAAUUAUAAUAAGAAUCCAGUGGAAGCUGCGUGCGUAAAAUGUUCAUGCAUAUUAGAGCUAACUAACAUGUAGAGAUAAGGAAAAAGACAUCGAAAGUAGACGGUAUACACACACUUACUUGAAGUUGUAUGGAAGUAGUAUGAAAUCCUUGAAUGUUUGUUUGUCUAGGAAAUUGUAUAUUUCCGCAAAGGUUUUUUCCGGUGCUAAUUGUGUCUGUUGUUGGUUAACUACAGAUGGAUCCAUGAAGCCUACAUGUAGGUACGCCUCUCGGCGGCAUGUCUGAAUUAGCAUCCUACAUGAAAUGGAAGAUGAAGUUAGUACGGUGACGCAUGCCAAAAUUUACAUGUAGAGAUAAACGGACACUUACAGAACCUAAGCGCUGAUCAGAGAGACGUCCAGGGCAUCAUGAUGGUACACUUCGUAUAUAUCCUUGAAGUCUAGCCACAGCACUUUCUCCCCUUCACCGUGAAAAUCUAUCGGUUUUACCUUCAUGCCGAUCAUCUCCCUCGAGUCGGCGGAUGCCAUCAUGUACCAUUGAUGGAAUGCGUACAUCUUUGUUGAUAGCUUCCGUACCAAUGAAGGCUUUACUAGAGGUUUGCCUAGCUCAUAAGGCCAUCUCAGCUCAGGGGGCGGUGCAGUUGGCGUCUCAACUUGCCCUAUGCAUUCAUCAAGUCCCAGACCUGUUUCUUCCAUGAACUUCAAUACAUUUGCUUGUUGAUCCAAGGGCAUUGCUUUUACCCGUUGAGCAUCUUUUUUUGAUAAAUGGCUGAGGUCGGGGACUGGACCGCUGGAAGAUGACUUUCCUUUCCUUUUAUCCUUUUCAUCAGCCUUUACUAGAGCCCGUUCAUAGUUUGACAAGAGUGGUAUCCUUUUCUUGGCUCCUUCUUCUAUCCUGAUAAAAAAGUUUAAAUCUCGCCGACUUACUGGCGGUGGCUCCAUCUCCCUUACUUUUUUUUCUUCGGCUUGUUUCUUGAACCACUCACUGGCCUCUCGUUGGAUUUCUGCCCACUGUUCCGCAUGAGACAUUGCCUCCCAGCGUUCCUUACGAGUCACUUCAGGCUCCUUUGUUUUCUUCUUUCUCUGUCUUUGCUUGGGAGGCGGUGCUCGUGACUUCUUUAGUGGUGGUGCAGGUUCCUUCAAGGGGGCCGCUCUUGGUGCCGGCGACGGUGAUCGGGGAGGGGUGUUGUUAUUGUCGUCGUCGCUCCCAGCACCAGGAUGUAGUGGAGAUGGAGACCUUGAUAUAGAUGGAAGGGACGGUCCUGGAGCAGGAGAUGACGGUCUCGAGGUAUGAGGAGAAGGUCGCUGCUGGGGAUCUACGGGGAGCGGUCUUAAGGUCUGAGGAGAUGGCUCCGUGCUGGGAAUAAUGAUGUAGCGUUUUUGCCAUAGAAUAAUCCCAUGAAGCGCAUCUGCCAAUGUCUUUUCCCCGUCGCCUCCCGGGAAGUCGAGCUCUAGACCUUCAUACUAGGGAUCAACUAUUUGCUCUACGCAGACGCUGGCGUAGCCUGUUGGAAUUUCCAUGCCAUGACUGCUCUGCCCCGCCAGGGUUGCUAACGCACUCCCGUACGCUACCUGUACAUAUAGCAGAAGUAAACAAGUUGAACUCCGAUCUCGAGGCCUGGAUCAAUUGACAAGAUUGCAUAAAUAUUAUGUAUAAGUAUACCUUAAUAGUGAGGUUGCCGACCGGUGCAUGCAGCUCACAUGAGGUCCGUUGUGUGAUGGCAUCCACGGGGAACCGUUGCUCCUCCACGGGUAACCUGGGCGUCUGCGCAUCGGGGACCCCUGUAGAAGCACAACUGCUCAAGAGGCGUUGAGAAGGGCUGGCGGUGUUAGGAAUCGGCAAUGCUCCAGAUUGGGCCAACUCCGCAACUGCGUGGGCCACCCGCCGAUUGGUUUCAUCCAUCAUUCUUUGUUCUUGUGCCUGCACUUUAGAUUCUAGCAUCUGCCGCCAGCUCUCCUCGAUCUGUUCCUUUCUUCGCUUCCGGCUUCUGUACGAGGUGCUGUCGCCUCGGAAAGCAAACUUCCACGGAACCACCCCGAACCCUCGGCAACGUCCUGGGUGUUCUGGAUUACCGAGGGCCAAUGUGAGCUCAUCAUUUUCUCGGUCCACCUUCAACCUCCCAGCCUUAGAAUCUUCAAUGUUCUUCAUGAGAUGUUCGGCCUUCUCACGUAUUGUGUCAUUAAAAAUCAACGUCCCAUCCUCUUGGCUUAGGGAGCCUCCAUGAGCGUAGUACCAAUUUUUUGAUCGUUCGGGCCAUUCAAUAGUUGCAGGUACGAUUCCCCGUUCGAUCAGAUCUUGUUCCAUCUUCCUCCACUUGGGAAUUGCUGAGCCAUACCCACCUCGCCCCAAAUGAUGGUGGUAGCCCUUCUGACUAGCAUUUGCUGUGUUGGUCGUGAUCUUUUUCACACCGUCUUCACUCCUCUUAUAUUCAACAAAUGCAUCCCAGUGGUCCCUCAACUUUGGCCACGCGUUGAAGUCUAGAGUUCGGCCCUUCUUGAUGUAGUGGGUAUCCAGCAUCUUCUUGAAUGUCUGGAAUUGAGUAGCCAUCUUCUUAAGCGUCCACGCUUUGACAUCCUUCUCACUAUAUCCUUCGGGGAAUGUGAAAUGUCUCUUCACGUCUUCCCACAGCAUAUUCUUUUCUGUCUCCGGAAGGGCGUACGGAUUAGUGCUUCUGCCCUUCCAUUCUCUGAUGCUGAUAGGCACGUUGUCCCGGACGAUUGCCCCGAUCUGACUCACGUACUUCUUUGCUACUUUCUCGGGAGCAACCGGCCUGCCCUCUUCUGUCACUUCCGUGAUGACAAGCCUCCCUUCCAUCACCUUUGUACAACCUUGGGUCUUCUGCCCUUGUGUCGAUCCGGAGGGCUAACAUUUUAAGAUUCGUUAAUUAGUACGUAGUAGUAACAGUGGCGUGAAACAAUACAAGAAUGGUUAUAUAUACCUCGCCGGAACCUUCCGCCACGGCAAGUUGUUGCUGCGGCUAAUGCUCUUCAUUCCCAUCGGUGGACAUGUUGAGGAACAUGUCCGCCUGGGUGCCCUCUUCAUCCGUGUAUGAUAGUGGAACGUUCUCGCCACUACCAUCACCAGCGAUUAUCUGCUCCAUGAUAUACCUUGCGGUCUCAUUGUCUGCCAUUUCAACUAUUGAUGGAAACAUACAUGGAAUCAUACAUGACAGUCAUAGAAAUCGUCUUACUACAAAUUUCUACAAAGUCCUACAAAGUCCGGAAUCAUACAUGUAUAUAAUGAAAUCAUAAAAUAACAUGAAUCCUACAAAGUCCGGAAUAUUUCUACGAAUUUCUACGAAUUUCUACGAAUUUCUACGUUCUAUGAAUUUCUACGAAUUUCUACGAAUAUCCACAUGCGGUGCCUAGGUUGUGACGGCGGCGAUCAGGGCGGCGGAGGCGGGGACGGUUCCCUGGAACCACGGGCGGUGCCUAGGUUGUGACGGCGGCGGUCAGGGCGGCGGUACGGCGGAGGCGGGGACGGUUCCCCGGAACCACGGGCGGUGCCUACUAGGUUGUGACGGCGGCGAUCACGGCGGCGGGACGGCGGAGGGGACACAUAUACAAAAAUAUAACUUAAAAAAAAUCUAACUUAAAAAAAAAUCUAACUUAAAAAUCUAACUUAAAAAUCUAACUUAACAAUCUAACUAAAAAAUCUAACUUAAAAAUAUAACUUAAUUUUCUAACUUAACAAUCAAAAUUAAAAAUCUAUCAUAAAAAUAUAACUUAAUUUUCUAACUUAAAAAAAAAGCCCUCCCAAUGCUGCCGGCCGGCGCGGCGGCGGACCUCUCGCGCGCGGUCGUCGACGGUGGCCGGGGCGACGAGGGGGCCGGGCGGCGGGACGGCGGCGGCCGGUGCGGCGAGGACGGCGGCCGAGGCGACGACGACGGCGGCGGCGUAGGCGGGACGGCGGCGGCGUAGGCGGGACGGCGACGAGGGGCGACGAGGCGGUGACGAGGAUGGAGGCGGUGACGAGGAUGGAGCCGGCGACGAGGAUGGAGCCGGUGGCCGGAGGCGACGAGGUGGGGGCCGGGCGCGUCGACGGACGAGGAGGAUCGAGGCGGGCCGGCCGGGGGGAUGGAGGACGACGAUGUCUGGGCGCGAUCGGCGGCAGGACGACGACAAACGGCGCAAUGGGGGAUGACGACGGCGGCGGCCGGCGAGGGAGGCGGACGGGCGGCGACGGCGGAGCAGAACGCGUGGAACUUGGCGAAAAUUUUGCUAAGUGUAACUGGCGGGGGGUAGAAGGGAGUACAGUGCCUUUUAAACCCCCCCCUUAUCCCGGUUCGUAAUGGUACCCGGGACAAAAGGGUGCCCCCGCCAGGUGGGGCUGGGAGCGUACCCUUUUAUCCCGGGUGCCACCACCAACCGGGAUAAAAGGGGGGGGGCCUUUUAUCCCGGUUGCAGUUGGCAACCGGGAUAAAAGGGUACGUCCGGGCGGGAGACGAAAAGUACCCUUUUAUCCCGGUUGCCGUUUGCAACCGGGAUAAGCAACCGGGAUAAAAGGGGGCCUUUUGUCCCGGUUGCUGUUAGCACCCGAGACAAAAGGUCUUUUUUCCUAGUUUUCUUCUCCCGCCUGUUUUUUGAAAUGGAUUUUAUUUUAUCUUUUCACUACAUUUCAGGAUGAAAAACAAAACCUUCACAGAUUUUGUACAUGCAAAAAUAUAUUUAAUUAACAAGUAAAUUGACAAUAAGUAUGAAUUAAUCAUUAAUUCUAUACCAGUUCAUUUAGCCUCUAAAAUAUUUAUUUUACUGCGUUGCUGUGAUUAAGAAAUUAUUCAAUUAAAUAAUUUCAAUGCGUAGAAAAAUCCAUGUUUGUAUGUGGUUAACAUUGUUCAUGUUUAUCUAAAAAAUCUUCACCUAACAAAUUUAAGAACACAUGAAAUCAUACAUAGGGUAAAAUUACAAAUUGUAUCGAUUAAUACACAAAGGUCAUGUACAUUUAACGCAUUACAAUACAACGUUGUAAAAUUUCUUCUUCACGAAAGUUCCUUGAUCAUGAUCGCGACGUAAGUACGGAGCCUCUUCUUUGGAUAGCAGGAUGCUUGGAUCAACUUCAACAGCGAAUGGAGGCAUGCCAUCAAACUGAUCAUAAUCAUCUGAUUGGUCUGUUUUAUCCUCGACUCCCACGAUUUUUCUUUUACCUGGAAGAACUAUGUGGCACUUUGGCUCCCAUGUCUCUUCUGGAUUCCUCUUGGGUUUGCUGCACAUGUCCUUCACAUAGAACACCUGAUCCACAUCAUUGGCAAGUACGAAUGGGUCAUCACUGUAUCCAGUCUUGCUCAGAUCUACUAUUGUCAUUCCAUACUGAUCUUUGGUGACGGUAGUUAGCUUCACCCAAUUGCAAAGAAAUAGAGGGAUGUACAGCGGUCCGUAUUCGAGUUCCCAUAUCUCCUGUAUGAAACCAUAAUACGACUCCUUGCUAUUAUUUCUGUCCAUGGCAUCUAUGCGGACACCACUAUUCUGGUUUGUGCUUUUCUGGUCCUGGGCUCUCGUGUAAAAUGUGUAACCAUUUAUCUCAUAGCCUUGGAAUUUGACGAUUGUGCUAGCAGGUCCCCUGGCUAACUAGGCAAGCUGUGGGUGAAUCUCAGAGUUAUCCAUAAGUUGUUGGCGCAACCAGGAGGGAAAAGUUUCCAUGUGAUGACGGGUAAGCCAAGCAUCGGAUUUGGUCGGGUUUUUUGAAGCUACUAUCUGUCUGUGCUGCUCGAUAUACGGAGACACAAAGGAUGACUGUUGUAGAACAGUGUAGUGUGCCUUGUCGAACAAAUCAGUAUCAUUGCUCAAACUUGAUUUCCUUCCAAGGGUGCCCAUUCCUCGGAGCCUCCCCUCGUGGCGUGAAGUUGGAACCCCAAUCGAGUCAAUUGAAUCAAUAAAAUCAACACAAAACUCGAUCACCUCCUCUGUUCCAUAUCCCUUGGCGAUGCUGCCUUCUGGACGGGCACGAUUAAGAACAUAGUUUUUUAGGACUGCUAUGAACCUCUCGAAAGGCCACAUAUUGUGCAGGUAUACAGGUCCGAGAAUACCAAUCUCUUUUACUAGGUGAACCAGUAAGUGCGUCAUAAUAUUGAAGAAGGAUGGUGGAAAUAACAACUCAAAACUGACAAGACAUUGCACCACAUCGUUCUGUAGCUUUGAUAGCUUGGAUGGAUCGAUUGCCUUCUGCGAAAUCGCAUUGAGAAACGCGCAUAGCUUUACGAGCGGCAACCGGACAUUUUCUGGUAGAACACCCCUCAAUGCAACCGGAAGCAACUGGGUCAUCAACAUGUGGCAGUCAUGAGCCUUGAGAUUUGUUAACUUAUUUUGUUUCAUAUUUAUUAUUCCAUUUAUAUUCGAGGAGUACCCAGACGGGACCUUCAUACUAUUCAAGCAUUCAAACAUGCUAUCCUUCUCUUCCUUGCUGAGAGUGUAACUGGCAGGACGUAAGUAGUGCUGUCCAUUAUCUCUCUUUUCCGGAUUUAGGUCAUCUUGUUGCCCCAUGGCUUUCAGGUCCUGUCGUGCUUCCAAUAUAUCUUUUGAGGUUACAUAAACACCCAUGAAGCCUAGCACGUUCACGCAAAGAUUCUUCGUCAGGUGCAUCACGUCUAUUGCGUUGCGAACCUCUAGGAUUUCCCAAUAAGGUAGCUCCCAAAAUAUUGACUUUUUCUUCCACAUGGGUGCAUGUCCGUUAUCGUCGUUCGGAACAGGUUGGCUACCAAGUCCCUUUCCAAAGACUACAUUUACAUCCUUCAUCAUCUCGAACACACGCUUUCCAUUACGGUGUGCAGGUUUUUUACGAUGGUCUGGCGCCCCUUUGAAAUGCAUCCCGCUCUUUCUCAGCUGGUGGUGAGCAGGGAGAAAUCGACGAUGACCCAUAUAGACGACCUUCUUACAGUGCUUCAAGUACAUGCUGUCUGUGUCAUCUAAACAGUGGGUGCAUGCCCGAUAUCCCUUAUUUGUCUGUUCUGAAAGGUUACUCAAUGCAGGCCAAUCGUUGAUGGUUACGAACAACAAUGCUCGUAGAUUAAAGAUCUCUUGUCUAUCCUCAUCCCACACACGUACACCUUCUUCCUUCCAGAGCUGUAAAAGGUCAUCAACCAACGACCUUAGGUACAAGUCAAUGUCAUUGCCGGGUUGUUUUGGGCCUUGGAUAAGCGCCGGCAUCAUAAUGAACUUCCGCUUCAUGCACAGCCAAGGAGGAAGGUUGAACAUACAAAGGGUCACAGGCCAAGUACUAUGGCCACUACUCAACUCACCGAAUGGAUUGAAUCCAUCAGUGCUUAAACCAAACCUUAUGUUCCUUGCUUCACUUUCAAAGUCUGGGAAUGUUCUAUCAAUUGAUCUCCACUGUGCCCCAUCUGCGGGGUGUCUCAGCAUCUCAUCUUCCUUACGGUCUUCUUUGUGCCAUCGCAUCAACUUAGCAUUCGCCUUGUUCCUGAAUAAGCGCUUCAAGCGUGGUAUUAUAGGGAAAUACCACAUCACCUUCGCGGGAACUCUCUUCUUGGGAGACUGCCCCUCGACAUCACCAGGAUCAUCUCGCCUGAUCUUAUACCGCAGGGCUUCGCAGACGGGACAAGCAUCCAAUUUCUCGUAUUCAUCACCACGAUAGAGGAUACAAUCAUUAGGGCAUGCGUGUAUCUUCUGAACAUCCAAUCCGAGAGGGCAAAUAAUCUGUUUAGCUUCAUAUGUUGUGGACGGUAAUUCAUUAUUCUCGGGGAGAAUCUUCUUGACAAUGUUCAACAUCCCCUGAAAUGCCUUAUCGGACACACUAUUUUUUGUCUUCCAUUGCACAAAUUCUAGUGUCGUACCUAGUUUUUUAUGGCCCUGCUGGCAACCUGGGUACAACAAUUUUUGGUGAUCAUCUAUCAUGCGCUGCAACUUUGCUACUUCCUUCUCAGUUUUGCAAUCUCUGUAUGCAUCUCGUAUCACCUGACGAAGGUCAUCAGUAGGGCCAUUUUCUGCAAACUCAUCUUCAUCAGCCUCGCCCAUUGUAGUACCUACAAAAGCUUGGCCUGCAACCCAGUCCGGAAUGGUGUCAUCUUCCUCCUCCUCCUCGCCAUCUUCCAUUACAACCCCUAGUUCACCGUGCUUGGUCCAAACCAAAUAGUUAGGCAUGAAACCGUAUUUAAACAAGUGGCUGUGAAUAGUCCCCCAGCUUUCCUUUGAAUACUCCUUCCUGUUAUUGCAUUGGAAGCAUGGACACAUACGAACCUAUUCUCUGGCUUGUUCGCUUUUGCCAUUUCGAGAAAAUAUGCAAGCCAUCAAUAAACGUCUUGCUCCGCCUGUCUGCNNNNNNNNNNNNNNNNNNNNNNNNNNNNNNNNNNNNNNNNNNNNNNNNNNNNNNNNNNNNNNNNNNNNNNNNNNNNNNNNNNNNNNNNNNNNNNNNNNNNAACAUAUUGAAGGAGAAGGACAUACCUCCUUCUCGUCGGUAAAUCACGCGGGUUAGCCUCUGAGCCAGGUAUAUUGUCCAGUCGAUGCAGAAGGGAUCACAGUUGUUACCUAAGUCUAGUUUAGCCGCGGAGCUCAGCUUCAACCCGGAUUAAAGGUGAACCACCUUUUAUCCCGGUUGGAGCCUCCAACUGGGAUAAAAGGGUCCCGCCACCAACAGCUCCCCACUAGCCGUUGCAACCGGGACUAAAGGGGGGCCUUUAGUCCCGGUUGCAAUUACCAACCGGGAGUAAAUCUUCCCUCCAUUUUUGCCUACCGUGGCGCACCCCCUUUUGUCCCGGGCCAACUUUAAACCGGGACAAAAGGGGACGGAUCGAAAACCAAUUCUCUACUAGUGUCUAUUCCACAAAACCAUAAUUGUUCACCGGCUCCAGCAUUGCUGUUGCUCUCCACCAAUGGAGGAAGCUCUUGUCCUUGGCACCACCUUAUCCACUGACCAGCUGAAGUUAUCUGUACGUCCUAAGGUCUCAUAAGAUUUUUGAUGAAUUUGCAUUAAUACUAAUAUUGCCACCAAUCUAGUCUCAACCUUGCCUCGUGUUCUCCGUGGUCAUGUUUUAUUCUAACUUGCAAGCCCUACAACUACAUAUGAUGGUUCUUCUAUAUGCAUAAUAUAUCGCAUCUCCUAAGACAUAUCGCGGGCCGGCGGCGCGCGGGGGAGCGGUGCCAGCAGAGCGGAGGCGACCGGCGGUGGGCAGAGGUGGGUGGGUGCGGGUGCGGGCGAAGGCGGAGGAGCAUGUGGGCAGAGGCGGGUGGGCGUGGGCGGAGGCGGAGGCGGAGGCUGGCGUGGGCGUGUGCGGAGGCGGAUGGGUGGAGGCAUGCAGCGGCGGUGGGCAGAGGCGGGCGGGCGCAGGUGAGUGGCAGCUGGGCCAGCGGCGUGGGCGGAGGCGGAGACCGGCAGCGGUCGGGCGGCGCGGGCGGGCGGCCGGCGAGCGUGGCGCUUCUUUUUUUUUCCAAAUUUUUUAGUCCCGGUUAGUGGUUGGUAACACCAACUAGGACUAAAGGGGGCCUUUAGUUCUGGGUGGAUGACCUGGAACUAAAGACCUCCUUUUUUAUCUCGAAAAAUUUAUCUCGGACGGCUUUUAGAGAGAUGUGAGCGUAUCCAAUUGGGACUAAAGGUGAGUUUUCCACCAGUGAAUGCAGAGCAGGCUCAUCCUAAAUGGUGACACCAUGCUGAUCACGCAAUUUAUCAUUAUUUUAUCGACCUCAUCCGUGUUUGUCUUUUACCAUCUAUAUAGUAUGGUUAGUCAACGGCAUGCAGUACACCCAUGCAUAUGAUUGCAGUAGGAUAACAUAGCGCGACCAGAACUGACGCAGUUUGCCAGUUUUAGAUUCGUAUACACGGCCAACUUACGCAGCAGAGAGUUGCAUGCUAAGCAGUUCAGCGUAGGUGGUGAGUUCUCAACUCUGAUAUGGCUUAUGGAAGAACACUGUCACGGUGUCACCUAGCCGGUUGGAGGCCAACCUCUUACUAGGGACAGCAAUGGCCCUGUCCGGCCACUGUUUCGUGGCUGGUAUUAUUACCCCUAUGCAGUGAAUAUGACAUGUGGAUCUAUGUGUAUAUUAUGUCGUCGAAAGAACAUUAUAUGAACCGUUGAGCCACCUUUGAUUCUAUCAAUGUGUCAUGGUCAAUUGAUGUCAAACUCUAUUAUCUUCAAGUCUUAUUGUAUUGAAAAAAUCACGAUGCUCUGCUACUGCCAUUUUGAUGUUUAUAAAAGGGUAUUGAGAACCUGGUGGGUAUCCAUUCGAUGCGCUGGGGUGGGGGUGGGGAAAAAUGAGUGUAAAGGACAGGGAUACAGUAUUUAGAAGGAUGGGGCUGCCACAGAAGAUAGUCUCCAAGUAUGGCAGGGAAGAAUCUAAAACUGAAUCCUUGAUCAAGACUGUCCCAUAUUCAUGAAUAGUUCACUGACAGAUCUUGCUUCCAUAUUCUGAACAGCUGAUGCUGGGCACAUAGGAGGUUAACCGGUCAGCGGAUCGAAGAAAAAAAAAUUCUUGCCUGUCAGUGUCCACAAUGGCCUCAGCUUGGGUUAGAGACAAUCAUCCCUAAAGAAUCAUAUUGCCGGAUAAGGUUAUCUGUGAUUGGUGGGUGCAGAUCCAUACUCAUCCUAGAAACAAGCCAGGGCUGAAUAUGCCACUCAUUUUAGGUGCUUUGAUGUUGUGGUCACACCGAAAUGAUCAUGUGUUUAAUAAAGUUUCCUAUAGUGACUGGCGUGCAGGCUGUCCUCGUAUUCGAGAAAAAAAAUCAAUGGGCGAAAUAUUUUCACCCAGGUAAUUGUUGCAUUGUAUGAAUAGGCUUAGAUACCUGGUUAGAGUAUGAAUGUGCGUGUACCGUGACACAAGAAGAUUUAUCAUAUCCAUGUAUGAAUUAGUGUUAAAUCUGCUACAUAAAUAUCUUCUCUUAUCUCAUUGUAUGUGUAUAUAUGACACAGAAGCACAUGUAUAUUGGCAUUGUAGAGAGAGAUGAGAGAGAGAAGCUUAUCUGCUUUUUGGAGAUAAAUAUUCAAAUUACUGGUGUAUGAGAGGGAUAUAAUUAUUCUAUCAAAUUGUUUAUUCAACAUGUAAAAAGAUUCCAUGUUUAGUCAUCUAUAUCGGCAUUGUAGAGAGAGACUAGUGUUCAGCUGGUUGGAAGGAUGAGAGAGAGAGGAGAGAGUUCGGAUGAGAGAGAGACUAGUGUUCAGCUGGUUGGAAGGAUGAGAGAGAGGAGAGUUUGGAUGAUAGAGAGAUUAGUGUUCACCUGGUUGGAAGGAUGAGAGGGAGAUGAGAGAGUUCGGAUGACGAGGUGGAGAGUUCGGAAGAGAGAGAGGUGAGAGUUCGGAUGAGAGAGAAAGCAGCUUAGAAGGAUGAGAGAGAAAGUGGUAUUCAGCUGGAUGGUGGAGACUUCAUAUAUUACUAACUAGCAAGGUGUCCGUGCGUUGCUAUGGUGAAACGACGUUGCUUAGCGCGCGAUGCUUUUUAUCAUGUCGUGUAGCAUACCACAUUUUUUAUCGUGCUGUGGAACUUUUCUAUUUUAGUAGUAUUAGACUUUUCAUAUAUAAGGGGCCACAUGAGUGUGUCCAUAUCCUAACCGUGAGGAGACCGCUUGCCAUGGAACUUGUUAUCUCUUUCUCUAUCUUGAGAUUGGUAGGCUUCUACAGCAAUUCUGCACAAAAAAGGCCCCACUUCGCCCCACUUCGCCUCGCUCUCGCUGUCCGGUUAGUCCCGCGCCUACCCUCUCCCUCUCCGAUCCUCGCCGCUAGCUCCUCGGGGUCCAAGUCGGGCCCGUGAUGUAGCGGCCUGUUAUCCUUCCACCGUUGGAAGCGGGCAGUGAUCGCUGCUCUGUGAACCCAGCCUCACGCCAUUCCUACCACUUCAGGUCCAGUGAAGCCCGAGCUUUUGCUUGGGCCGAACAGGCCACUACCAACUUGGAGCAGGCAAGGCCAGCAAGGGCACACAAUAGACCCAAGCCCAGAGUCCACACCCAAACAUCCACACCACCUUAAUACCCCCACUUGGGUUACAAGCCCGCGCAACCAAGCUCGAUGAGGAUGGCUCGUGAGGACGAACAUUUGAGCUGGUGCGGCGCUGCUUCAGAUGGCGAGGUGGUACUAAUCUAAGGAAUAGGAAAAUUUCACGUGGGUCCCACACCGCACCUACCCCUAUCCUUAUCCUUUCUCAUCUCUCUACCGUUCAUCCGGUCCUUAUCCUCCUCAUCUCAUCUCUCUCUCUCUCUCUCUCUGUCUCUCUCUCCCUCUCUCGCUCUCAAACUCUCUAUCUCUCCUAUCCCCUCUUUCUCUGGAGAACGCGGUGCACGGCUGGCCCCAGCGGCGGCCUGGGGGCGCGGGUGCUGGCGGCAGCCGAGGGUUGCGGGGCUGCGGCGAGGAGCCUCCUGGCCGUGGAUGCGACGGCCUAGCCACGGGUGCCGGGCCGCAUCGCACCGCGCGCUGCUGCCACCGAGUAGGCUGCACGCACUGCCUGCACACCAGGCGGGGUGGGCGGCCAGGGCCGAGCGGCGCGGCCGGGGCCGGGGAGGUGACUCUGGCGCGGCCGAGGCGGCUUGGGCGCGGCCAGCUGUUGUGGGUAGGGAGAGGUGGACAGCGGCGCAUGGCGGUGUGGAGAGGCGGACGUGGGGCACGAACGGGUGAAAGGGGAGACGGGGAAAGAAAGCUGGACCCACCUAGCAAUGCAGCCGGGGCCGGGGCCAGGGUAGCGCGGGUGGCCGAGGCCGAGGCCGAGGCCAGGCGGCGCAGUCGGGGCUGGGGAGGCGGCUUUGGUGCAGCCAGCCGUGGCGGGCAGGGAGAGGCGGAGAGUGGCGCAACGGCGGCGUGGAGAGGCGGACAUCAGGCACGGGCGGGUGAAAGGGGAGACAGGGAAAGAAAGCUAGACCCACCCGUCAAUGCAUUAAUCUUACCUAUUAUUAAACAUCAGGGCCACCUCUCGUUGAUAGAAGUUGGACCAAACCAAAAAAAGUGGGCAGAAGUGUUCCUUACUUUAAUAAUAAUAAUAAAGUAUAGAUAAUGCAUCCAAACAACAUUUGGAAUUUAAUUCUAAGAAAAACUUUCUCAGUACAUCCAAACUAGAAAAUUCAAUUGAAUAAAAUUCUACGGAAUGCAUUUCUUAUGGAAUCUAAUUGGUAGAAUAUGAUUUAUGGGAUGAGUUUCAACUCUAGGGAUCCAAAUAGGCUCUUAGUUAUUUCUUAUGUAGCUCAAAUCAGAAGGAAGGUACGUCCAAACUAAAAAACGUAAGUUACUUUGUGUUAUCUUGUGAAUCAGUGAUUAAUUACUUCCAAUCUUAUGUAAAAAGAACUACGAGUCAAAUUCUUUGUCAGAUUUAUACUGACAAGUUACAAGCACAUGCCUCUGCAGUAACAGGCCAGCCCUAGACUAGUGGGCAAACCAAAAACAACAUGAUUCGUCAACUGAUCGAAUGCUAAUGACUAUUUUGCUAGGAGAAUGAACAUGAUUCAUACAAAGCAGGGGAGCUACUAACUUGGUCAAGGUCUCCGUCCUCUAGCUACUAACAUGAUUCAUACAAAGAAGGGGCCAUCUUGCUCCACUCCACGUCUGCGUGGUUGCUCGGCGGGCGCGACGGUGUCGGCUGCGGAGUGCGGACGGCGCGUAGAUAUGUCAUUGUUGAUCAGGACAUGCACUUCUAUCACAGUCUGUGGUUGGCGUCCACGGCCGAGCGGGUCAAGGUCUCCGUCCUCUAGCGUGGGGAAACAGGAUCUCUUCAAUCAGUGCUUCUACAGAAACGGUGCACGGUCACCACGGACCAACGACAUACCAUGAGAAAAGCAGAGCUAAAUGUUGCAGUAGCAGAGUAACCGGAGACUGGAGAGCACUUGCUGCUAAAAGCUGCCUCUUAUUUUGUAUCGUCUUAACCGAAGACUUUAAGUCAACCGCCAUUCGAUUCCAAUAUAAACUAGCAAGUUGGUCCGCGAUAAUAGCGCGGCUAGAUUUGAUACAGUAUAAUUUUUUUAAAUGCUAUGUUAGCUUAGUAUAUUUCUUUGUCCCUCUUGAUUUGUUUUUCAUCCUCUUGAAAUCACUGAGUAUACUUAGGUGCCUUACUCUACACAUUGAGUAUCAAGCCAUAUAUGUAUAUUUUUUUUUUGCAAAUGAACUCCGAUGCCACAUGCGCAUAUGCACGCCUAAUUAAAAUUGCUCACUUGUAAAAAAAUAAGAACAACUUGAGUAGUUGAUUCUGAUCUUAUGUUGCAGUUUUUGCCAACUUUUCCUAGUAUUAUUGUGUUGAGUAGAAAGCCUGUGUAGAGAAAGAUCCAAAACAAACAAUCGUGUCAACUACUCCCCAUGCUUGCUCAAAUAAUUUUGAAAAAAAAAACAACCGCGCUCUAAGUCCUAGGGAGGUGAUAUUCCUCCUUACUUUCCUCCUCUCGUUUUCCUUGCACAAUCGAGGAUGACAAAUACCACAAACCACUUAGGCUCUAUCAUGUUUCAUCAUCACAUUCCUCAAAUCUUGAUCACGUUGUUGUCUUCAUUAUGUUAACAGUACACAUCUCUCCGCCUCUUCUAUUCCACAAAACCAUAAUUGUUCACCGGCUCCAGCAUUGUUGUUGCUCUCCACCAAUCGAGGAAGCUCAUGUCCUUGACAUCACCUUAUCCACUGACCAGCUGAAGUUAUCUGUACAUCCUAAGGUCUCAUAAGAUUUUUGCUGAAUUUGCAUUAAUAUUAAUAUUGCCACCAAUCUAGUCUCAACCUUGCCUUGUGUUCUCGGUGGUCAUGUUUUAUUCUAACUUGCAAGCCCUACAGCUACAUAUGAUGGUUCUUCUAUAUACAUAAUACAUCGCAUCACUUAAGACAUAUAUCGCGGGCCGGCGGCUCAUGGGGGAGCGGCGCCGGCGGAGCGAAAGCGACUGACGGUGGGCGGAGGCGGGUGGGUGCGGGCGGAGGCGGAGGCCGGUGCGGGCGCGUGCGGAGGUGGAUGGGUGGAGGCGUGCAGCGGUGGCGAGUAGAGGCGGGCGGGCACGGGCGAGUGGCAGCUGGGCCAGCGGCGGCCGGGCGGCCGGCCGGUGAGCGUGGGGCUUUUUUUUAUUUUUUUUCAAAAUGUUUUAGUCCCGGUUCGUGGUUGGUACCACCGACCGGGAUUAAAGGGGAAGACCCCGUCUUUUGUCUCGAAAAAUUUAUCCCGGAUGGUUUUUAGAGAGAUUUGAGCCUACCCAACCGGGACUAAAGGUGAGUUUUGCACCAGUAAUGCAGAGGAGGCUCAUCCUAAAUGGUGACACCAUGCUGAUCAUGCAAUUUAUCAUUAUUUUAUCGCCCUCAUGCAUGCUGUGCAUGAUUGAUAUUAGUAUUGGGCAGCUUAGAUUCCUCAGCGCAUCAUGCUGCUCAGCCAUGGAGGUCAAGGCAUCAAUAUUGUCCAUAUCACAACGUCUCUGCUUUCUCUUGUUGUCCUCCCCCUUCCCUCUACAUUGCACCUUCUUGUUUUCCUGAUCCUAUUGCCAGUUUGUUGCAGCCAUUUAUGGGCACCUCUUUCGUCCAUUGUCCACUGUUGUUGCCCGCUGCCUCAGUUCUUCUCUAACCAAAGCGGUCGUAUCGCGCUGGUCGGUAGGAAGCCAUCGUCUCACAAAAGCAUCGUCGUGAUCGCCAAACCACAUCUAGCCGAUGCCGAACCAUACUUGCCAUCUUCUUUGCCAACUUGCCGCUAUGGAAGCCUCCAUGCAUCGCUCCUCGAGUCUAUCCUAUCUCUAUCAGCUCCUGUGGUAUCCUGUUUUGUUUUUGCCUCAACCACGAAGCCAUAGGUAGCUGGUGCUAAAUUGCAGGGCCAGCAACAGCUAUUUCCUCUCCCUGGCCUUGCGGCCAUGCUAUGUAUUUUUCUCUCUCAAAAAAAAUUCCAAUGAUUUAAUUCUAAUGUUCCGAUCAUGUGUGAUUGGUUUAUUAAUUAAAGUUAUAGUUAUACACGAGUAUAUUAUAAAAAAAUAAUAUAUAUAUAAGUUACCAUACAAAGUACAACUUCCAAUAAGGUGGAGAGGUUCGGAUGGAAUUUUGAUUCAACUUACUCUAUUCUAGAUAUUAGAGUUGUACUAGCAAAAUAUCCAUACAUUGCUAUAGCAAAAUAUCCGUACAUUUGCUACGGUAAAAGAUCAAUUGUGUUUUUCAAACUAAUAAUAUUUUUUAUUUUCAUCACUAAAGUUUUAUUCCACUUAUUGGAUGUCCACACAUUUAAUAGAAAACUAAAAGAAUUUUAACUAAUUAUUUCCUUCAACUCAAAUACCAAUUAAAUUAAAAUAUUUUUUUAUUCAAGCAAGAGAGUUAAAUCAGCCUCCGAUGGCCAUCGAUGAGGGGCUCUUUAGUCCUGGUGAGUAAUAUCAACCGGGACUAAAGAACCCCUUUAGCCCCGGUUGUAAAAGUUAGUGGCCUCGGGAUUCUGUUGGGGCGUUUUGUCCCGGUUGCAACUACCAACCGGGACUACGCUCCCCGCCUCCACACACACAAUGUGCGUGCCUCACUUUCUCUCCUCCCUCUCCUUAAUUCCAGUACCCAAGCCUCCUCUCCUUAAUUCCAAUACCCACAUGCCUCCUCUCCUCCUCCCUUCGGCCCCUGCCUCCUCUCCUCCCUCUCCUUCUCCUCCGCUAGAUCCGGCCAACCCCCAUUCCCUCUUCCAAGCUCCUCCCUCUCCCUCGACCGAGGCGGGCGGCGGGCGCAGGUCGGGUGGCGCGGCUGGGGCCGAGGCGGCGUGGGCGGCCGGGGGUCAGGGAGGAUGAUAGGUGGUUACGAGGAUGAUACCUGCAGACAAUACUUUUAGUCCCUCAAUUUUUUCUGAGAAUUGCACUGUGAGCUGCGCUUUCAUUUAUGUCACACCGCUCAGCAAAAAAAACGGUGCAAAUCGACCAAAAUAAAUGAAUAAAUCACACGGUUUAGACUGGUGGCAUCUGUAUGUUUGAUGAGUUUUGAAUCCCAACAGACCUCUGUUUGCUUAUCCAACAGGAGGAAAAAACUUUACUUACUAAAUCAGCUUUGCAUGCCAGGCUGCAAUUGUUAGAGCAGAAUUGGGUAAUUUGUGAACAUAAUUGAAUCAAAGUUUUGUCUCAGACUAGUAAUAGAAAAUGGUAAUGCUCCACAGCUAGAACACGUUCCUACACUAGUUUAAAAAAUUCCCUGAAAUUGGCGACAAUGGUCAAGCUCAAUGUCAAAGUCAAAAAUUCCUACACACGUUCCUACCAUACUUGGAACUUGGAAGGCCGCUGGUCGAUGUCAAAGUCAAAAACAGAAGCAGACAGCGACGUCUCACCAGAUCACGAAUCAGAUGCGAUGCAUGUGCAUGUUCAGCAAGACAUUGAAAAGCAAGCUCUGUCUGGCAGCAGCUCUUCAAUACGCUCCAGCCCAUCUCUACCAUGGCAUUGGCAAUGCGCGUCAUGAGCUUGCUUCCUGCCACCAUCGCCGUGAUGAUCGCAGCGGCCUCCUGGGGAGCGCACGGCGGUGCCAGCGACGAGGCCAGCGCGCUACUUGCUUUCAAGGCUGAGCUCGCCGGCAGCGGCUCCGGCAUGCUUGCAUCCUGGAAUGGCACCGCUGGCGUCUGCGGCUGGGAGGGCGUGGCGUGCACCGGCGGCCAGGUGGUGGCACUGAGCCUGCCCUCCUAUGGGCUCGCCGGAGCCCUCUCCCCGGCCAUUGGGAACCUCACUUUCCUGCGGACCCUGAACCUGAGUUCCAACUGGUUCCAGGGGGAGGUCCCAGCAAGCAUCGGCCGCCUAGCGCGUCUGCAGACGCUUGAUCUGAGAUACAAUGCGUUCUCUGGUACGCUUCCUUCCAACCUCAGUUCCUGUGUCAGCUUACUGCUGUUAGAUCUCAGCAGUAACCGGUUCCAUGGGCGUAUCCCUGUUGAGCUUGGAGACAAGCUAACAAGUCUUCAGAAGUUCUCACUGGGCAACAACAGCUUGACGGGUGCCAUACCAGGAUCACUAGGUAACCUGUCAUCCCUGAUCUACCUUGAUCUGACAGAAAACCACCUCGAGGGUCCGAUCCCACAUGAACUUGGCAGCAUGGGCGGCCUGCAGGUCCUUUUCCUCUAUGAGAACAGACUCUCCGGUGUGCUUCCACACUCCCUGUACAAUCUGUCCUCACUGAAAAACUUGGUGGUAGGAAACAACAUGCUGUCUGGAACCAUCCCUGCUGAUAUCGGCGAUAGGUUCGCCGGUAUGGAAGUUCUUGACUUUAGUAGCAACCGAUUCAGUGGAGCUAUCCCACCUUCGCUCGGCAACCUCUCUGCUCUCACGUUACUAAACCUUCCAGGAAAUGAUUUUAUUGGAUAUGUGCCUUCUGCUUUGGGGAAGUUGCAAAGUCUUACUGACCUGUUCUUGAGUGACAACAGGCUAGAAGCAAACGACAGUCAAGGGUGGGAAUUCAUCACUUCACUGGCAAACUGCUCCCAGCUUCAGUAUCUUGUUCUCGGCAACAACUCUUUCAGCGGGCAACUGCCUAAUUCAGUCGCAAACCUGUCAUCAACUCUGCAACAUCUUUAUUUGGGAGACAAUAUGAUUUCUGGGAAUAUUCCAAUAAACAUCGGAAAUUUGGUUGGUCUUACAGUACUUGAUAUGGCAAAUACUUUAGUAUCUGGACAGAUUCCAGAGAGCAUUGGUCAGCUAAGAAACUUGGUUGGGUUAGGCCUUUACAACACUAGCUUGUCAGGCCUCAUACCUUCAUCACUAGGAAAUCUUACACAGUUGAAUAAUCUUUAUUUAUACUAUGGAAACUUAGAGGGGCCAAUUCCAUCAAACUUGGGGAACUUAAAGAAUGUGUUUGCCUUUGAUCUCUCAACAAAUCGACUCAAUGGUUCAAUUCCUAUAGAGGUUUUAAAACUUCCUCGACUUUCCUGGUACUUAGACUUAUCAUAUAAUUCACUAUCCGGGCCACUUCCAACUGAGGUUGGUACCAUGGUGAAUCUUAACGAACUGAUUCUGUCUGGAAACAAGUUCUCAGGCACCAUACCAGCUAGUGUUGGGAACUGUAUAUCGUUGGUAAAGCUGCUGCUCGAUAACAACUUAUUAGAAGGAAGCAUACCUCAAUCUCUGAAGAACUUAAAAGGUCUUGCAUUACUGAACCUAACAAUGAAUAAGCUAUCUGGUAGUAUUCCUGAUGCCCUUGCUAGCAUUGGCGACCUGCAACAACUGUAUCUUGCACACAACAACUUGUCAGGUUCCAUCCCCAAAGUUCUACAGAAUUUGACAUUGUUGGCAAAACUGGAUUUGUCCUUCAAUGAUUUGCAAGGCGAAGUGCCAAAAAGGGGUCCUUUUGCAAAUGCAACUCACUUGUCAAUUGAUGGAAAUGAUGAGCUUUGUGGUGGAAACCCUCAACUUCACUUAGCUCCGUGCUUCACAGCUGCUGCGGGGAAGAACAGAAGGCGAAUGUCAAGGUCAGUUAUGGUCACCGUAGCGUCAAUCUGCGCACUUCUAUUCUUAGGUUUAGUAGUUUUUCUUAUCCAUUUGAUCCACAAGACGCUCAGACAAGGAAAGGAAAAUCAACUCAUUCCCACAGUAAUUGAUGAACAGCACGAAAGGGUUUCAUAUCAAGCAUUAGCAAAUGGGACUGACCAUUUUUCGGAGGUUAAUCUGCUCGGACAAGGAAGCUAUGGUGCAGUUUAUAAGUGCACUUUACAUGACAAGGGAAUUACCGCAGCUGUAAAGGUAUUCAACGUACGGCAAUCUGGGUCUACUAGAAGUUUUGUGGCUGAAUGUGAGGCACUGCGAAGGGUGCGCCACCGAUGUCUCAUAAAGAUCAUCACCUGUUGCUUAAGCAUUGAUCACCAAGGCCAAGAAUUCAAGGCACUGGUUUUUGAGUUCAUGCCCAAUGGUAACCUAAAUGAUUGGCUGCAUCCAGCAUCCAAAAUACAGAGUCUGAGCAAUACACUCAGCUUAGCUCAGAGACUAGACAUUGCGGUAGAUAUCAUGGAUGCUCUGGAUUAUCUUCACAAUCAGUGUCAACCGCCUAUUAUCCAUUGUGAUCUCAAACCAAGUAACAUCCUCCUUGCCGAAGAUAUGAGUGCUCGGGUUGGAGAUUUCGGCAUAUCAAAAAUCCUUCCUGACGACACUAGCAAAACUCUGCUGAAUUCAGUUAGCUUCACUGGACUAAGAGGUUCCAUCGGAUAUGUCGCUCCAGGUAACAGAAACUAACACUGAUAUUGCUAUGUUCAGUUUUUAACUUCCAUUUUGCCAAGUCCAGUUAUCUCGGCAUGCACGUUGAUAAGUAGCUUGCCAUGAAUCCACUGACCAAAUAGUGUCUGAAAUCUGAAUUGACUGCAGAGUACGGCGAGGGUCGCGCUGUCUCAACUCUUGGAGAUGUUUACAGCCUCGGCAUACUGUUGCUUGAGAUGUUCACCGGGAUGAGCCCUACUGACGACAUGUUCAAAGGCUCCUUGGACCUUCAUAAGUUCGCCGAGGCCGCUCUCCCCGACAGAGCCUUGGAGGUAGCCGACCCGGCAAUCUGGUUUCAUGAAGAAGCAAAGGGCGAAGACCCUGCCACGGUGAGAAGCAGAAGCGAGAGGUGCUUGGCUUCAGUGGUCGGGCUUGGCGUGUCCUGCUCAAAGCAGCUGCCAAGGGAGCGGACGGCGAUGCGGGAUGCUGCCGCUGAGAUGCGUGCGAUCAGAGAUGCCUUCCUGGUUCAAUGUGCAACAGAGACUUGGCCUGCAGUCGGCACCACCGGCCUUGGGAGCGCAGACAGUUGAAUGGUGGACGGAGCUACGGUCUCUUGAUGAACCAAGGAGCACCGGACUAGCAACUCUGCAACUAACAGAGUGGAGAAAGCGCCCCUUAAUGAAAAGAAAAACAGCCGGUGCAAGGCUUUAUAAAAAGAAUGUGACAGCCACUGCGUGUAUCCGAGAGACUUAUCUAAUCUACCGAGGAUUGUUGGGUAGGGAUGCGUAUAGAUUAUGCACGUGCUCCCUCCGUCCCAAAAUAAAUGCACAUCUCGCUUUUCGAGGAGUCAAACUUCUAAGUUUGACUAAAAUUUAUAAAAAAAUGUACUACUAUUUAUAAUGUAUAAUAAAUAUCAUUAGAUUGGGCGUUGGAUAUACUUUCCUAAUAUAUUUAUUUGAAGAUGCAAAUGAUGAUACUAUUUUCUUUAUUCUUAGUCAAACUUAAAAAUGUUUGACUCUUCGAGAAGUGAGAUGUGUGUUUAUUUUGGGAUGGAGGGAGUACCCGUCACGGGGAUUAGUCACGAUAUAAGUAGGGACUAGCAAGCACCAAAAUCCCAUUCACUGCCCUUCGAUCGCUCAAAUAAAACAAACCAUUGCAUAUGGUGGCGAUGCGCUUGCGGGCCUUUUUCCAACCUUUCUGCUGUCGUGGGUCUUGAACUCGCAUGGAACAGUUUUAGUGAAAGCGUGCCCUUCAAUUUUGGGAAGAUUGCGAAGCCUCAUUUACCUGUCCUUAGUGACAAUAAGUUAGGAUCCAAUGAUAAGGACGGAUUGGAAUUCAUCACCAUGCUGGCAAACUGCAGCCAGCUUCAGCAACUGGCUUUUGACAAUAAUUCAUUCAUCGGGGAACUUCCUAGCUCAAUUGCAAAUCUAUCGACAACACACCAAUUACUCUGUAUAGGAAACAAUUGGAUUUCGGGAUUUAUUCCAUCCAGCAUAGGUAAUUUGCUUGGUCUAGAACUGCUUGCGUUGGCAAAUACUUUCAUAUCCGGAGUGAUUCCAGAUAGCAUUGGUCGCCUAGAAGACAUGUCCGUGUUAGGCAUUUACUACGCUAGCUUGUCAGGCAUCAUACCUUCGUCACAAGGAAACCUUACACAGUUGAAAACUCUCUAUGCGUACGAUAGCAACUUCGAGGGUCCAAUUCCAGCAAGUGGGGGAACUUAAAGAAUGUUGUUGUUCUUGAUCUCUCAACGAAAGUGUGUAACCCGCUAAGAUUUCGUGUCGAAGCAAAGCAUAAACCUCUCUUAAGACUGCAAAGCUAUCAUAGAGCAGAUCAGUCUAAGACAAUGUAGAACUUAGUCAAAUUUUAUUUAUAAACAUUCAAGUACAAUUUAUGCAAAGUAAAUUUGAAAAUAAAGUAUACGUAAACAUCUAAGCGCAUAGCUUUAUGAUUUGAGUUGAACUAACCAAAUAUAAUUGAAAAACACAUUUAUAUUUAUAUUAAGUCAAAUUAACAUAUAAUUAUGAAAGCUCGAGAUAUAACUUAUGGAGCCUUUAUUUAGAAAACAAAUUGAAUAAACAUUAAUCAAUUUAAGUUUAAUUAUGAACCACCAUGUUGCAUCUCUCAUUGACUUUUAAUUGAAAGAGUUAUUUAAAUAAGCAUUAACUAAUUUAGCAUUUAUUAUGAAAAGCAGUUAUAACACUAAGUAGCUUUUAAUUAAAGAAGACAUGUUUAACAUGCAUUAAUCAGAUUAAUAUUAAAUUUAUUUUAAAAACAUGCAUGAUGGAAAGAUCAGUACUAACAUGUAAUUUGUGUUAUUACAAACCUAACUCAAUAAGAACAGAUAUAAACGGAGCUGUAACGACCAGUCUAUGGGUUAAACAAGGUUGCAGGGCCUAAUCAUGAUUAACGGAAGGUUAUUGGGGCUAGCAAGGAAGAUUUGCAAGACACUGGAAUAGAGCUCCCCAUUAGGUCAAAGCAUAGGGCGAUUGCGAAAUCAAGAACUCGAAGGUGAUCGCGAGAACACGAAGGACACGAAGGUUUUAGAUAGGUUCGGGCCUCCGGAGAGUAAUACCCUACGUCCUGUAUGCUAGUUUGUAUUGCUUGAGAUUGAUCUGAUUGUUGGGAUACCCUCGGGGGUGCCCUUGGCCGCCUUAUAUAGGCUGACGACCAAGAGUUAAAAGUCAGUUUGAAUCUAAUCUACUCGGUAGUUACAUGGAAAGUAAUCUGAGUUGGACUACAGUACACGUUCCAUGAUAUCCAGGCAGAUUUGAACUGUCUUGUUGCCUUGACUUGCACUCCAAGUAACUUCAUGUCCUCGGCCCGCACGCCCUAGUCGGGCGGGCCCUACUUGUCAGUCCGGCCAGUAUCCUGGUCGGUCGGGGCCCAUGGGGUACCCAUAUCCCUCAAGCCCCCGAGCAUUGUGUAGGUGAAGAGUAACUUGAGGUCACCACAGUGAAACUUGAAAUGAAGUCGGCUGAAGCUACGAAGACAUCAUGGCGACGGAGAGGCUGCACAGUGCUCAAAAGAAGAAAUUCUGAGCAAACGCAGAGCCAACGCGUAGAGCGAAGACGAGUGCCGAGUUGAUGGAUGCUGGCAUUCAGCAGUCGGAGCAAAGGUUAUGGAGGGCCUCGCAAAACGCACUCUGUAGGAGUAGCCCCCGAGCAUUAAAGUGAUUAAGAUAAUCGGUACAAUAGUCAAAGAAGAAAAAGUUAUCCCCUAAAGUAGAUCCUAGUGCUCGAACAUAAGGAUGGGUGAAGCCAUGGAGGCCCGCCAACCAGAAGUAGGCACCCAGACCCAAGAAUGAGGACUAGCGGGACCGUGUAGCCACGUUGACCUGAAAUAGGCGCCCAACCCCUGAGGACGAGGACUAGCGGAGCCACGGAGGCAUGCCGACCUGAAGUAGGCACGCAACCCCUGAGGACGAGAACUGGAGGAGCCAUGAAGACACGCCGACUUGAAAUAGACGCCAAGCCCCUGAGGAUGAGGACCAGUGGCGCCACGGAGGCACGCCAGCCAGAAUUAGGCAUCCAACCCCCGAGGAUGAGCAUGAGGACUGGUGGAAGCACGUCGAGGUGCCUCCCGCCUCGAGCCGAGGCAGAGAGGUCAGUCGGGCGACGGGAGGCACAUGAGUCAUCUAUGGCGCGCAACCGCCGAGCCUGGGAGCCGGACGAGUUGCAGAAGCAUGCCAAGUCGCCUCCCGCGGCGAGCUAGAGAGGUUUGCUGGGCGACGGGAGGCACGCCAAGUCAUCUGCAGUGCCCAGCCCUCAAGCCUUAGGGCCGGCUGAGCCAUAGAAGCAUGCCAAGCCGCCUCCCGCCCCGAGCCAGAGAGGUCGGCCGGGUGACGAGAGGCACGUCGAGUCAUCUGCGGCGCCCAGCCCCCGAGCCUAGGAGCCAGACAAGUCAUAGAAGCAUGCCAAGUUGCCUCCCAUCCCGAGCUAGAGAGGUCGGCCGCGUGACGGGAGGCACGCCGAGUAGUUUUUGAGCUAUAAAAGGACAAUACAAUCAUCAUGUAGCAUAGUGUAGAUCGUUUAAUCAUUGAACAACUCGGAAGUUUAAUUCACUAUAUAAGUAAACUCUUGCGCAUCCUGCUCUUGUAGGCUAAGUAAUUUCCCCAGGUAGUUAGCCUGUUACGUUUAAGCACCUAGCCCUACUGACCACUGCUCACAGAGAUGACGGUUUAUCUCAAGCUAUAGCGCUGGGGCUGACCUGAUGCUUGCAUAUAGGAGACGCGCAGGAUGAGUUAAGGUUUUACGGAUUAAGGCAUGUGCUACCCGAGUACUUUAGCAACUGUUAACAGGGACAGACAAGUUGCAAAGCAGCCGGAACUGUGCGGAAAAGCACCAGCAUGAGCUAGGCACCCAUGGGGUGUAACCCCUGGCCGCCCGUGUAGUGGACGGACCAAGUUGUAUAAACAGUUAGGGUGCGACCAAGGUGGUGGGCAAAAGUCACGGAGACAUAGGAGAGCUGAGGCGGUCGACGAAAGUCACAGGAACAUGGAGGAGCCGAGGCUUAUGUAGGUAUACGGAAGCCAUAAAAUAUUUAAUUGUAAAUAAGACUUAGCUUGAUUCGUGAUCGAGUCGAAGAACCCGCAUGUCGUCUUUGCGUUUAGGCUUAGAAGCCCCUGAGCGUGGUCAGCGGAUAGUUGUUGGUGAAGCAAACUAGUAGGGCUCCAUGCCCGACUAAUUCGUGUCAAGUCCGAGUUGUUGGAGUUGUUAGUGGCAAGUCUGUGGCUGCGAUCGUGGUAUGCUGCUGCCAAGUCGAUGCGGCCAUCGGGUCGUGGCUGGCUGGCCGCCACGCUCGCAAUACAGCAUGCCUGGGUUGUGCUGCCAAACCAAAGGUGCAUGUACAUCUUUCCGAACCUCGUAAGGAAGCCCUCAGGUAUUAAGGAAAUCUAUACCUAAUAUUAAAGUGCGGUUGUUUGUUCCAACCAUUAUGGUUGUUUUGCAAAAAAGUCCCUCAACUUUUUCGUAAUCAGCUCGCAGUCCUUGGAAUAUGUCUUGAUGAUUUUGCAAAAAGGUCCCCAAACUUUACUGCAAUUGGCCGUCGAAGCUCCCGCAGCAUGCACCUACGCCACGUGCGGUGCGGACGAGUGUGCUGGCGGUGGCUGCAAGCUCCUCACCACAGCGGGGACCAGGUCGAGCAGCGACAGCGAUGACGGAGGGGAGUAGUCCGCAUCCGCGUGCCGUGCUUCCAUCGUCGGGCAAGCUGUGGCGGCGGUGGAGAGGGAAAGUGAGUACAUCGGCGUGUGGCAGCAGUCGUGGGGCAGUUUGGCGGCGGAGAUCCAUGACCCGCACCUCGCUGUGCGCAAGUGGCUCAGCACCUUGGACACCAUUGAGGACGCCACACACGUCUAUGAUGUCGCCGCCAUCGAGUUCCGAGGCCACCACGCCAAGCUCAACUUCCCCGACGACAUGGUCCCCGUGCCCGCACCUUCUAGGGUGCCCACCUCUACAUACCACUACCACCACCACCUGCCGCAGCCGCUGCCCAAGAGUCUGCACAAGACCUGCGGGUCGAACGCAUCGUCGUCGGUGCACAUGGCUCCUGGAUGACGGCAGCUUCUUGUCACCCAUGCCAUGAUCGUCACAUUCUCCUCUUGUUUUCACUUUCGUUGCUUAGCGGAUAAUGGUGGUCAGCUGCCCUUUGGUCUGUCGUCAAUCACCAGCCAUCCAUCGCUUUCAUAUGGUUUUACACUAGCUUUUGGGCUUUGACCACACCUCCACACCCAUAAAGUGGAGUGAUGUUGAUCUACUGCCGCUCGCCCUGGCGUGCAACUACUGUCGCUCACCCUAGCACAUGGCUACUCACUCGGGCUGCGUGCCCUACCCGCCACCUGGACCUAAGAGGUGAAGGAGAGAGGAGGAAGGGGGAAGGAAAUAAGGAGCCGAGUGCCUCUUUGCAGUCAACCAAGUAGAUCCAUGUGCCAGCGAAGGCAUGGCGCCAGCAAGGGGGGGGGGGCGCAGCAGCAGUCGGCAGGCAACGCAAAUUGGGGCAGAGGUUGGGACCUCACACCCCCCCUCUCAAUGACGUCCAUCCCCUUAAGAUCCGGAACUAAAGCCUCCACAUCUAGCAAUUGGGGGCUCAAUUUUGCACUUGAUUGAAAUGAUUUGGAGUGGAUUAUGGAAGGGAAGUGGAUGGAAAUGAGAAGAGGAGGAGAACGCACUCCUGCUCAUGGCGGCCAGAGGCGUUGUGGCCUAGCGCUCGAAGCAGGAAUGAGGCUAGGCACAGGAAGGACGAGCGCUUGCCUGGGCGAUGGUGAGGAUGGCAAGAUGCGCAGCGCCUGGAUGACGGCGAAGAUGGGGCUAGAUGCGGGUGGCGCUGAUGGAUGAAGAGGCAUCGACUGGCUAGAUGACGAUGAGUACGGGGGAAAUCGAAUGAAUGGAUGGAGCGGAGGUUGAGCGGUGAUUUUUUUUAUUUCCAUAUGUGGGUCCCACAUAAUAAACAUAUGGCAUCAAAUCACCCAUAAAUAUCUUCUACUACUAUACUGAGACAACGCACCAACAUAUGGUGAACCGAAGCCACCGUAUUACGAACAAGCGAAUAAUAACGUGAGAAUAAGUAAGGACCUGUAGCAACGCACGGACAUUUCUGCUAGUGAGAAAAAAAAUUGUUAUCUACCGCAGUAAGCACCGAGCAACAUAGGAGAUCUACUGGAUGGAAUAGAUUAAAUAAUAAAGGGAAGGGAGAAUUGUUUCCUUUUUUUUCCGUGGCAGAUCCGACAUGUCUGCAUGCAACAAGUUGAGGCCGACGUGUCGUGCUAAAUCAAUUGGAUCGGACUGGGGCUGGAUCAGGCGAGCUUGGCUGUGGCCGGGAUGAGGCCAAUAAGGGCGCCGCCCUUGACCUUGGCCUCCUGCGUCUCGUGGAUCUUCUGCAUCUAGAGCAUCCGCUCCAUGACAAGCUUGUACUGGCACUUCUCUUAGGCGUGGUGCUCAGGCUGGCACUUCCAGGGGAGGUAGAACUCGGAGGUGCACGCACUGGUUGUGGUAGGCGAGCGGCACCUGGGCCACCGCCAUCUCCACCUGCGUGAUGAUCUAGGGCUUCAAGGAGCCGAACUGCACACCGACCGUUGCUGCCGCCUCCAUCUGUCACUUUCUUCCCGUCUCUCUCACCGGCGAGGUCGUUCCAUCGAUAGAUGGGCAUUGCGGGUUUGGUGCGGUGUGGGUAGGUGGGGUGCAGCGAGGACAUGAGGAACCCUCUCGGAGAGAGAGAUUGCCAAUCUACUGGGCAAGUGGCAUGAUGAUCCUUGGAUAGAGAACUUGCUCCUCCGGAGUAAAUCCGACAGAUGCCGAGCUGGCGGCAGGCAUCGAGUCGAAGUCCACCGACAUGCUCCCGAAGCAGAGCUGGAUUGGGUUGGCGAGGAAGUCCUUCAUGCUCUCGGAAAAAACAAUGUCGGGACGGGAUGCCAUCGAGCUCGCUAGGGAGGAUCUCACAAUCAUCCCUACCUGGCAUGCCAACUGUUGGAUUUAUAAGCCUGAUAGUCCACCAGGGGGUUACCCAAGUAGUUGAUUUCUAGGUGAGGGCGAUUGUGAAACCAAGAACUCGAAGGUGAUUGCGAGAACACGAAGGGACACGAAGAUUUUAGAUAGGUUCGGGCCUCCGAAGAGUAAUACCCUACGUCCUGUAUGCUGGUUUGUAUUGCUUGAGAUUGAUAUGAUUGUUGGGAUACUCUUGGGGGUGCCCUUGGCCGCUUUAUAUAGGCUGAUGACCAAGAGUUACAAGUCGGUUUGAAUCUAAUCUACUCGGUAAUUAGAUGGAAAGUAAUCUGAGUCGGACUACAAUACGCGUUCCAUGAUAUCCAGGUAGAUUUGAACUGUCUUGUUGCUUUGACGUGCACUCCAAGUAACUUCAUGUCCUUAGCCCGCACGCCUUAGUCGGGUGGGCCCUAGUUGUUAGGUCUGACCAGUAUCCUGAGGUACCCAUAUCUCUCACCUUGGUGCUCCGGCGAUUAGGGUCAACGGCGAGGAUGGGGAUUGGAAGAGGAGAUCAAGGGGACUUUAUGGAGAUGCUCACCGGUGGUGAGGUGGACGGAUUCCAGCCAGAAUUUGGCUGGCGGUGGAAGAACACGACAGGUUGCUCAGGUCUUCGCGAGUGAUGGUACUCCAGCAGUGGAGCGGCGACGAAGACUAGUGGCAGAGCAGCUCCUCGACAUCAUGGAGCUCCCUAAGGCUCUAGCUUGCUCCAAUGGUCGACGGGCAUAGCGAAUUGGCCAGAGAAGGCUGGUAGCGGCUCCUAGCUUCGGUGGAUGUGGGGGAUGGCGGCGCUUGUGGAGGAUGGCGGUGCUUGUGCAAGCUGGGAAGAGUGGCGGCGCGAGGCAGGGUAGCAGCAGGGGCACUGUCUCGACUUUUAUAGGCGCGUGGGUCCGCGCCUACCUUGGCACGCAUGCUGAGGUUCGGCGGUGGCGACGACCAACUGCAGCUACGCUUGGCCUCAACCCGUUGGUGGCCGAUGGGCCUAGCGGACCUAGCCGAGCCAUCAGCUGGGCUGGGUCGGUGAGGGUCGAGCCGCAAAGACUUGGCCCGAUUGAUUAGGAUUUUCCUUUUUUUUAGAAAUGAUUUCUUGUAAAAGAAAAAUCCAGAAAAAUUCUAUAUAAUUAAUUUAAGCAACGAAAAAACCCUAAAAAUCCAAAAAUUCCAGGAAAAAUCCUAGAGAUAGUUUGGGAAUGAGGAGUACAAAUAAAAUACUUGGAGCUCAUGAAAAGGAUUCUAGAACCUUCCAAAAAUUGGAUUUAGCUCUAGAAAAAAGAGAAUAAAUCUUAGAAAAAUCUUGAAAUUCUCAUAAGAACCUAAUGGGCAUCUAAACGCAUUCCAAAACCUUUGCACUUAUGAAAUACCAAGAUGCAUCGGCAUGAAUGCAACACAUACAUAGAACUAUUAUAUUUAAUUCAGAAAAACACUCAAUUAUUUUCCUAUACUAAAUUUCCUGUCAGGAAAAUAAAUGUUGGAAAAAUUUUAAAAUUAUGAGAAAAUCAUUGUUUAAUUAUUAUUUUUAAUCACAUCCUGAAAUUUCAAAAAUUUUAAGGUGUGACAGAUACCCUCAGGUUUACAGAAUUUGACAUCCAUGUGCAAAUUGGAUCUAUCCUUCAAUGAUUCUUUGGAUUUGCACAGUUUUCAGAUAUUUACUGGAAGGAGCCCAACGGAUGAGAUAUUCAAUGAUUCUUUGGAUUUGCACAGUUUUCAGAGAAUGCUCUUCCAGAGAGAAUAUGGGAUAUAGUUGAUCCGACAAUAUGGAUGCACACAGAUGCCUAUAACAGCACUAUGAGAAGUGGAAUUAAGAAUUGCUUGCUUUCUGUUGUUUCUCUUGGAAUAUCAUGCUCAAAGAAACAACCUAGGGAGCAGAUCCCGAUUCAGGAUGCAGCCAUUGAGAUGCACGCUAUUAGAGAUUCGUAUCUCAAGUUUGCCAGAUCUCUUUUGGUGGAGCAUGGAGUAGUAGCAACAACUCACAGUGAUUUCCCACAACAGUGAAUACAUAGGACUGAAAAUGGGCAAGAUGUCCGCAGGUGAUCAGUUUACCUGAAAUAACUGAAGAUGUAUGAAGCUUCAGCUUUAUAAUUCGUCCAUGCAUUUGUUUGCAUCAGAUAUAUGGAAGUAUAAAAUAAGUUUAGAAAAUGUUUCAAAAUAGAUUAGAUCAAGAGGUUUUUACUUGUCGUCUGUAUGGCACAUUUGUUUAGAGAAUUCAGUAAUAUGUAUGAUUCAUAAUACAAUCAAUGCUCUGCAAAUUUCAGAUAGCACAAUUGGAAUAAAAAGCUCAUUCAUUGAUUAUGUUGCUCUAGGUGACUCAACUUAUUGUGAUGUUCACUGUAGAUUUCUCCAUGGUCCAAACGACCUUUGUGAUCAGUUAUGUUUAUGCAUUUUGUAGACUUGUAAAGUCUUUCCCUAACCUGCUGACAUAUCAGCUGGAGCAGAGCACUCUGCCGUUCUGCGCCACUUGCCUCUAGGCAGCGCUUGCCGCUUGGUGGCUGCCGUGGCGACGGGCGGCAUCCGUAAUUGCUCUAUUGGAGGCUGAGGGGCACAAUUACGUCUUGGAGUCGCCACCGCGCGACCUUCGGAGCUCGCCCAUGCCUCAUCGGUACGAGCUCAGUCCCGCGGUGAAUGGCGCGCGCAUCUGGGGUUCCGUCAGCUGCAGGUGCAGAUGGGUGGAGAGCUUAACAGCACUAGGUCUUCAGAAGAUGUUGGGUGGGCUGGAUGGGGCUUUGCGGCUCUGAAUGGCGAGGCGGGCAGGGACGACGGCGGCAGCGGCAGGCGGCGGCACUGGACGCGUUGGGGUGGAGACGACCCGGACCAGGGAGCAUUUUUGAAAAUAGUCGGAUCGCGAUCCUAAUUAGGAAAUGUGAGAAGGGGUGCACCAAAUAUGGGAUGAGAUGGAGAGGAGCGGAUCAGGCCCAGAUCAGCGAUCAUUUACUAUUAGGGCCCGUUUGUUUGGCAGGAAUUGGGCUGAAUUGGAAUUACUUUCCUAGGCCGACCUGUUUGGCUGCACAUGGAAUUGGAAAUCGUCUUUCCGGUGAUUUUCACGGGCUGAUUUUCUUACUUGCGACACAUUCCGGGCCUAAGACAAAGAAAUCAAUUCCAUCCGACUUGCUUCCCCUCCCGACUCGCCUCCCUUCCCCGACACCGCGCCACCUCCCUCUCCCAACUCCCCUCCAUCCCGACGCCGCACCCCCUCCUCCACCGCCUCCUCCGGCGCCCCCUCCUCACCUCCCCCUGACUCGCCUCACCCCGUGCUGCCGCCGCCCUCGACUCUGACUCCCCGAGCGCUGCGCCGCCGCCUCUCGCGCCGCCGCCCCUCGCGACCACCUUCUCGACGGCGAGAUAAACCUCCUCCAGUUUCCCUCCUCCAUCUCGUUCUCCGGCUCACCCCUUCCUUUUUCUUCCUCACCGGCUCACCCCUUCCCCUUGAACAAUCCGCAGAUCUGCGGGGGAGGUGCCACCGGCAAGCAGGCUGGGAGCAGCUGCAACGGCGGCCGCCCCAUCCACGUCUCUACGGACGGCAUCUUCAACAUUCCGACCACGCGCGUGCUCUCCACUAGCAAAGAAGCUGUACGUCCCAAUCCCUUCUGCCCAUCCCCUUUGCUACUCGAGCCAGCAAAGAAACUACUAGUUAGUUGCAUCAGAUUCUCACUGUCAAAUUGGAAGGCCAUUGCUCUUGCUCCUACUAGUAUACCGCACUUUCCACAAAAUGCGACACACGAAUUUGUUAAUUUUGCCGUAAUUCUGCUAUCAAAUCAAAAGGCCAAUCCUCUUGCUCUAAACAGUUUCUGCAAUUUCGUGCACUAUCGAUUGCUAGUGCUAAUUACAUGGAGGGCCUUUGGUACUUCUCUGCUAAUGCUAAUUAUAUGUGACAUGCUCUGAGAUUCUUCAUACUGUGUGCUGCCAUUAGUUUAAAUUUGGUAGAAGCUGAAAUCUCUUCGUAGAUCAUUAUGUGCUGCCAUUCUGAUAUCCUGUGGAGUUGCAUAUCAACUACUAGUGCUAGCAUUUAGUUUUAUCUGUCACAGCAGUUAAGCAUCAGUCAGCCCUUAUCUAGCAUUUAGUUGGUGCAGCUGUGCAAGUGAUGUUCCUAUUGUUUUUAAUUUUUGUCUUCUGCAGCAUUUUGCAGGCUGUCUAUGUUUCUGCUUAGUUUCGUGAAAUAGUGUAGCAUUUUGAUGAUAAAUUAAAACAUUCCUUUUUGCAUAUGUUUAGAUGCCUGACAGCAACAUAGACUUGGUUAAUACAGGCAUAGAGCAAAUGAGAGAGAGCGUAGGAAGAAGAGAAAAAGAGUGGCUAUUUUAUUUAUUUCUGCUGUCAUGAGCAUGAUUGUGCACUAAUGCGUAAGAGACCUAGGCGUAUCGUUGAUCCGGAUGAAGUGGCUGAGAGAAAUGUUGCUAGUCGGAAACAAAUGCCAAGGAAUCUGUACUAAGGAUCAAAUAUUUUUUGCUAUGACAGUUUGCGCCUAAUUAAGAGAUCAUUUUCUGACCUAUGUGCCAUCUUACGUGAUAGGUGCGGUAUGUGUGAUACUGUCGGUAGAAGAAAAUGUGGCUAUCUUUUUGCUUAUAGUGGGCCAUGGCACUAAGAUGAGGAUGAUUCGUAGCUCAUAUAGGUGGUCGCUCGAGCCAAUCUACCAUCAUUUCAAUGAGGUGUUGAGAGGUGUUCUAUCAUUAUGCCAUGAAUUUAUCAAGCUUCUUGAUCCAUCAGCUGUAGAACCUGAGGAUUCCAAGUGGAAGUGGUUUGAAGAUUGCCUUGGAGCAUUAGAUGGUACACAUAUUGACAUUUUGGUGCCUUUGGCUGACCAAGGGAGGUAUAGGAAUAGGAAGCAACAGAUUACCACCAAUAUUUUGAGGGUUUGUGAUCAUCACAUGAAAUUUAUUUACAUCUUAGCAGGAUGGGAAGGAUCGGCUUUAGAUUCACGUGUGCUACGUGAUGCAAUGUCUCGGGACGAUGCAUUUCUUAUUCCAAGUGGGAAAUACUAUCUUGUAGAUGCUGGAUACACCAAUGGACCGGGCUUUCUUGCUCCAUAUCGAUCCACUCGCUACCACUUGAAUGAGUGGGCUGCUCAAGGGCAUAACCCAUCCACUCCCAAAGAACUAUUCAAUUCGCGCCAUUCAACUGCUAGAAAUGUGAUAGAGAGAACAUUUGGGCUAUUAAAGAUGAGGUGGGCUAUACUAAGAAGCAACUCAUAUUUUAACUUACAAAAUCGGGUAUUCCGUAGUUAGUAACCUAGCUUGAAAUUCACCUCUGAAUGACCCUAGCAUGUAACUCAUUUCUACUAAUUUUUUGCAGAUUAGGAUCAUUAAUGCUUGUUGCAUAUUGCACAACUUUGUAAUUGAUAGACAAAGAGAUAUAGAUGACUUACUUAUAUACACCAAGUUGAUCAAGUAAUAUAUGUUGAACCUCAUGAAGUUCAAAGUGAAGUGGGCAUGAUUAGCAAUGUUCAAUCAUCAAAUGAAUGGAGCAAUUUUAGGGAUACCAAAGCUAACCAAAUGUUUGCUGAUUACCAAGCGAGACGUGGUCAAUGUAUGAUAAAUUCUAUCAUCAAUGCAUGCUCAAAUUUAUGAUAUUUGGUGUUGCUCCUUAAUAUUUUACUGAUAACCUUUGUGAACUUUUUUCUUGUAGAAUAUGGAGAAGGGCAAGAAGUCAGUCUCGAGCAGGGGUUACAUUUGUUGGAAUGACGACAUGAAUAAGGCUCUUCUUGACACAUUUGUGGAGUACUAUAACAAGGGUGACACAUGCCAAAAUGGGUGGAAGUCUCAUGUCUAUACAACUUCUAUCAAGAAUAUCCGAGAAAAGUGUAAUGUGGAUAUCACAAAAGACAACAUCAUGGCAAGGAACAAGACCUUUGACAAACACUACACUAUCAUCAAUGGUAUGUUGGAAUCAAGUGGAUUUGGUUGGGAUUGGAACAAAAAUAAAAUAUCUGUUGAUAGUGAUUCUGUAUGGGAAGAAUAUGUGACGGUAAGUUUCAAAAACCACUGAUUUACUUGCUUAACUUGCUUCUCUUUACAAGCAGUUUUCAUUUUGUUAGACACAAUCACAUAUGAGGUUAUCCUUAUUUUACACAUGGUAUGGUAUGAAUCUACUAGGUGGGCUUGGCAUAUAAUUGAAAGAUUUUUUGUACUCUAUCUAAAGUGGCAAUGAUUGUUUCAUCAAAACUUAUUGUUCCUGAAAACUUAUUGGCAUAUAAUUGAAAGUUUCUAUCUAUUGUUGAAAACAGUGUGUAGUGAAUUAUGUUCGUUACCUGUGUUCCUAAACAAUUAUGUAUGCAUCCUUGUCCCUGUAUGUUUUGUUACUUUUUUUAUUGAUAGUGUGGCAUCUUUAGGUUGUUCUUGAAAUGAAAGUAUACUUUCACUGCACAAGAAUUUAUUGGCCAGAAUAGUGGCUUGUAUUGGUCAGAUCCUAGUCAGCAAGUGCACGUCUCCUACAAGGCUGAGAAUCUUGCGUGAGGAAACUAGAGAGACCACUAGCAUGAACAAUGCCUCUCCAUACUCUGCAAUUUUUGAACUUUAGAUGCACCUGUCUCUUUGCUAGAAUUGCAAAUUAAGUAUGAAACAUGAAUCGACAUCAUUUAGUAUUGUUGUGCAGCACCAUACAAUGGUUUUGUGGUUUUGUGGAUUCUAGAAAAGGAUUCUCACAAAUGAUAGUUGCCAGUUAUACCUUUUGUUGCCAGUUCUACAAAAGGAGCCAUGGAUGUGUUUCAAUUUGUAGAUAUUCAUUGUGCAAAAUGCGACUAGAGCUUCUAGUACAUGUAUUUCUAAUAGUAGAAGCCAUGCAGAAGUUCCUGUAUUUGAACUACAGUAUGUAAACUGAUCUAUAUGUGUCUAAACUGGUCUGUAUGUGAACUACAAUGAUUGUACUUCUAUUUGGGUUCAGUACAUACUUGCUCUACACUUGUUUUCUAACCAAGUACAUUUAUUUUCUGUAGAAAAAUAAAGAAGUUACUGGGUACAGGCACAAGACUGUCUUGUACUGGGACUCAAUUAGCUUGGUGUUUGGCAAAGGCCAUGCUACUGGUGAAGCGGCAAAGACUGUGGCUGAGAGCUCAAAAAAUAUGAGUAAGGAAUAUCUUAGUAACAAAGAACCCACAUCAUCGGCAACUUCAGGAAGUUUAAAGAGGCAACGAUCAGGUGACUCUUUUACCUCUAUGAUAGCUGAAAAAAUGGACAAGUUUGCUGAAGCACUCAAGGAGGAAGCCCUAAAGGCCUAACAUCAAAAGAAAUUCUAGACACACUGAAUGAGGUACAAUGAUUGGAUGAAGACACUUUGUUGGACCUAUUUGAUAUCCUGACCGGUGAUGCACGCAAGUAUGAGUCUCUGUUGGCGCUUCCGGAGAAGAUGAGGAAGAGGUGGCUCCUAAAACAGCUCAAGAAGUGAAAAAAUUAGUUCAUAUAUAAAUUAUACUAUCAAGUGAUGGAUAAUGUCUAUUGAACUUCCAUUGCCUUGUAAUAAUAUGUGGCUUCAACUAUAUGAAAGUUUAGAUACUAUGUCUGUAUUGCUUGCAUUGUCAAGAUAAUAUGUUUAUCAUGAUCUCAUACUAUGUCUGUCAUGAAAGUUUAGAUAAUAUGUGGCUUCAACUUGUCAUGAUUGUAAUCUCCUUUGACAUGUUGCAAGUAAUCAGAUAUGUCUGCCAGGAUUGCAUUGUCAAGUAUGAAUGUAUAUCAGCAUUGUAGGGAGAGAAGCUUAUCUGCUUUUUGGAGAUAAACAUUCAAAUUACUGGUGUAUGACGGGAUGAAAUACUCUAGUGUUCACCUGGUUGGAAGGAUGAGAGGGAGAUGAGAGAGAGAGUUUGGAAGAGAGAGAGGUGAGAGUUCGGAUGAGAGAGAAAGCAGCUUAGAAGGAUGAGAGAGAGAAAGCGGUAUUCAGCUGGAUGGUGGAAAUUUUAUAUAUUACUAAUAAUGCAUCCAAACAAUAUUUGGAAUUUAAUUCUAAGAAAAACUUCCUUUGUACAACCAAAUAAGAAAAUUCAAUUGAAUCAAAUUCUACGGAAUCCAUUUCCUAUGGAAUCUAAUUGCUAGAAUAUGAUUCAUGGAAUGAGUUUCAAUUCUAGGGAAACAAACGGGCCAUGGUCUUCAUUCCCAAGGAAAGCUUGAGGCUCUGCAAUAUUACACAACAAUGAAGUCAAGAGGGUUGAUCCCUGAACCAAGGACCAAGAUACUGGUGAAAGCUAUACAUAUGAAGAAAGAUGGGGCUGUCAUAGAAGAUCAGUCUGCAAAUAUGACAGGGAAGAAUCUAAAACUGGAUCCACGAUCUAGACUAUUCCAUGUUCAUAAAUAGUUUGCUGUCAGAUCUUACUUCUAUGUGUCAAAAGAAUCUCUUCGACCAGUGUCCAGAUCACAAUGGUCACACCUUGGGCUACAAUAAAUCAUCAGCAAAGUGUAUUGGCAUUAUGUAUCCCAGAAAGUUUUGCUCAGACUUUCAAUGCCAGGGUAUGUUUUUUAUGUCUGAUAUGGAUCAAUUGCAGGUACUGUAUUACACGCUCGUAUUAUGAAGGUUAUGUGAAAUAUGACAGAUGUUUGUUUAUUCAUCUGUUAUGCAUGGCUGUGUCUACUGUCUAGUUGUUGGCUUGUUGCCAACAUAUGCAGCAGCAGGUAGCUUCAGCCGCUCAGAAGCCCAAAUGAAGGAUGGCCCAGGCAGAAUAGCUAUGUCCAGACCCAGAAAGCUUAGGACAUGUCUUGCCAGCCUGCAGUUUUGUACUCGUAGCACCAACCAUCUCCGGGUUCUGGCCGGUUAUAUACAUGGUCUGGAAUGGGCAUCCGCUGAUCGAUUGAAACCUUGAGUUGCUUCCGUGUGUCUUUUGCCAUCUAUAUAUUAUGGUUAGUCAACGGCAUGCAGUACACCCAUGCAUAUGAUUGCAGUAGGAUGACAUGGCGUGACCAGAACCCUUCUUUUGCCAGUUUUAGAUUCUUAUACACGGCCAACUGACGCAGCAGGGAGUUGCAUGCUAAGCAGUUCAGCGUAGGUGGUGAGUUCUCAACUCUGAUAUGGCUUAUGGAAGAACACUGUCACGGUGUCACCUAGCCGGUUGGAGGCCAACCUCUUACUAGGGACAGCAAUGGCCCUGUCCGGCCACUGUUUCGUGGCUGGUAUUAUUACCCCUAUGCAGUGAAUAUGACAUGUGGAUCUAUGUGUAUAUUAUGUCGUCAAAAGAACAUUAUAUGAACCGUUGAUCCACCUUUGAUUCUAUUAAUGUGUCAUGGUCAAUUGAUGUCAAACUCUAUUAUCUUCAAGUCUUACUGUAUUGAUAAAAUCACGAUGCUGCUACUGCCAUUUUGAUGUUUAUAAAAGGGUAUUGAGAACCUGGUGGGUAUCCAUUCGAUGCGCAGGGUUGGGGGUGGGGAAAAAUGAGUGUAAAGGACAGGGAUGCAGUAUUUAGAAAGAUGAGGCUGGCACAGAAAAUAGUCUCCAAGUAUGGCAGGGAAGAAUCUAAAACUGAAUCCUUGAUCAAGACUGUCCCAUAUUCAUAAAUAGUUCACUGACAGAUCUUGCUUCCAUAUUCUGAACAGCUGAUGCUGGGCACAUAGGAGGUUAACCGGUCAGCGGAUCAAAGAAAAUCCACAAUGGCCUCAUCUUGGGUUAGAGACAAUCAUCGGUAAAGAAUCAUAUUGCCGGAUAAGGAUAUCUGUGAUUGGUGGGUGCAGAUCCAUGCUCAUUCAAGAAACACAUGAUUCUUUACGGAUGAUCAUCUCUCAGCACACCCUGCUGAUAAGGUUAUCUGAGAUUGGUGGGUGCAGAUCCUAGAAACAAGCUAGGGCUGAAUGCGCCGCUGUACUUGGAUGUUGUGGUGACACCGUAAUGAUUGUGUGUUUAAUGGAGUUUUCCAUAGUGACUAGCGUGCAGGCCGUCCUCGUAUUUGAGAAAAAAAUCAAUGGGCGAAAUAUUUUCACCCAGGUAAUUGUUGCAUUGUAUGAAUAGGCUUAGAUACCUGGUUAAAGUAUGGUGCGUGUACUGUGACACAAGAAGAUUUAUCAUAUCUAUCUAUGAAUUAGUGUUAAAACUCCUACAUAAAUAUCUUCUCUUAUCUCACUUUAUGUAUAUAUAUGACACAGAAGCACAUGUAUAUCGGCAUUGUAGAGAUAGAGAUGAGAGAGAAGCUUAUCUGCUUUUUGGAGAUAAAUAUUCAAAUUACUAGUGUAUGAGAGGGAUAGAAUUAUUCUAUCAUAUUGUUUAUUCAACAUCUAAAAAGAUUCCAUGUUUAGUCAUCUAUAUCGGCGUUGUAGAGAGAGAGACUAGUGUUCAUCUGGUUGGAAGGAUGAGAGAGAGAGGAGAGAGUUUGGAUGAGAUAGAGAGAUAGUGUUCAGCUGGUUGGAAGGAUGAGAGAGAGAGAGAGGAGAGUUUGGAUGAUAGAGAGAUUAGUGUUCACUUGGUUGGAAGGAUGAGAGGGAGAUGAGAGAGUUCGGAUGAGGAGGUAGAGAGUUCGGAAGAGAGAGAGAGGUGAGAGUUCGGAUGAGAGGUGUGAGAGAGGUGAGAGUUCGGAUGAGAGAUAAAAUAGCUUAUAAGGAUGAGAGAGAGAGAAAGCGGUAUUCAGCUGGAUGGUGGAGACUUCAUAUAUUACUAAUAAUGCAUCCAAACAACAUUUGAAAUUUAAUUCUAAGAAAAACUUUCUCGGUAAAUCAAAACAAGAAAAUUCAAUUGAAUCAAAUUCUACGGAAUCCAUUUCCUACGAAAUCUAAUUGCUAGAAUAUGAUUCAUGGAAUGAGUUCCAAUUCUAGAGAUCCAAACGGGCCCUAAGAGAAUUGUAGUGAUCAACUCCCAAGUUGCAAUAUAUUCUAGGAAAUAGGUGGUUAUGAGGAUGAUACCUGCAGACAAUACUUUUUAUCCCUCAAUUCUUACAGAGAAUUGCACUAUCAACUGCAUUUUCAUUUGUGCCACGCUGCUCAGCUAUAAAAAACGGGGCAAAUCGACCAAAAUAAAUGAAUAAACCACAUGGUUUAGACUGGUGGCAUAUGUAUGUCUGAUGAGUUUAGAAUCCCAACAGACCUCUGUUUGCUUAUCCAACAGGAGGGAAAAAGUUUACUUACUAAAUCAGCUUUGCAUGUCAGGCUGCAAUUGUUAGAGAGUAGAAUUGGGUAAUUUGUGAACAUAAUUGAAUCAAAGUUUUGUCUCAGACUAGUAAUAGAAAAUGGUGAUGCUCCAUAGCUAGAACAACACGUUCCUACACUAGUUUAAAAAAUCCCCUGAAAUUGGGAACAAUGGUAAAGCCCAAACCAUACUUGGAACUUGGAAGGCCGCUGGCGGAUGUCAAAGUCAAAAACAGAAGCAGACAACGACGUCUCACCAGAUCACGAAUCAGAUGCGAUGCAUAUACAUGUUGCAGGCAUUAGCACGCAUCCCUUAGGAUUAAACAAUUCAGCAAGUAGCUCCCCUGCUGACCAAGAAAAGCAAGCUCUGUCUCGCAGCAAGCUCUUCAAUACGCUCCAGCCCAGCUCUACCAUGGCAUUUGCAAUGCGCGUCAUGAGCUUGCUUCCUGCCACCAUCGCCGUGAUGAUCGCAGCGGCCUCCUGGGGAGCGCACGGCGGUGCCAGCGACGAGGCCAGCGCGCUGCUUGCUUUCAAGGCUGAGCUCGCCGGCAGCGGCUCCGGCAUGCUUGCAUCCUGGAAUGGCACCGCUGGCGUCUGCAGCUGGGAGGGCGUGGCGUGCACCAGCGGCCAGGUGGUGGCACUGAGCCUGCCCUCUUAUGGGUUCGCCGGAGCCCUCUCCCCGGCCAUUGGGAACCUCACUUUCCUGCGGACCCUGAACCUGAGUUCCAACUGGUUCCAGGGGGAGGUCCCAGCAAGCAUCGGCCGCCUAGCGCGUCUGCAGACGCUUGAUCUGAGCUACAAUGCGUUCUCUGGUACGCUUCCUUCCAACCUCAGUUCCUGUGUCAGCUUACUGCUGUUAGAUCUCAGCAGUAACCGGUUCCAUGGGCGUAUCCCUGUUGAGCUUGGAGACAAGCUAACAAGUCUUCAGAAGUUCUCACUGGGCAACAACAGCUUGACGGGUGCCAUGCCAGGAUUACUAGGUAACCUGUCAUCCCUGAACUACCUUGAUCUGAGAAAAAACCACCUCGAGGGUCCGAUCCCACAUGAACUCGGCAGCAUGGGCGGCCUGCAGGUCCUUUUACUCCAUGACAACAGACUCUCCGGUGUGCUUCCACACUCCCUGUACAAUCUGUCCUCACUGAAAAAGUUGGGGGUAGGAGACAACAUGCUGUCUGGAACCAUCCCUGCUGAUAUCGGCGAUAGGUUCCCCGGUAUGGAAGCUCUUGACUUUUCUAGCAACCGAUUCAGUGGAGCUAUCCCACCUUCGCUCGGCAACCUCUCUGCUCUCACAAAACUAAUCCUUCAAGAAAAUGGUUUUAUUGGAUAUGUGCCUUCUGCUUUGGGAAAGUUGCAAAGUCUUACUGCCCUUUUCUUGGGUGUUAACAGGCUAGGAGCAAACGACAGUCAAGGGUGGGAAUUCAUCACUUCACUGGCAAACUGCUCCCAGCUUCAGGUUCUUGUUCUCGGCAACAACUCUUUCAGCGGGCAACUGCCUAAUUCAGUCACAAACCUGUCAUCAACUCUGCAAGGUCUUUAUUUGGGAGACAAUAUGAUUUCUGGGAAUAUUCCAAUAAACAUCGGAAAUUUGGUUGGUCUUACAGUAUUUGUGAUGGGAAAUACUUCUGUAUCUGGACAGAUUCCAGAGAGCAUUGGUCAGCUAAGAAACUUGGGUGUGUUAGGCCUUUACAACACUAGCUUGUCAGGCCUCAUACCUUCGUCACUAGGAAAUCUUACACAGUUGAAUAGGCUUUAUGCAUACUAUGGAAACUUAGAGGGGCCAAUUCCAUCAAACUUGGGGAACUUAAAGAAUGUGUUUGUCUUUGAUCUCUCAACAAAUCGACUCAAUGGUUCAAUUCCUAUAGAGGUUUUAAAACUUCCUCAACUUUCAUGGUACUUAGACUUAUCAUAUAAUUCAUUAUCCGGGCCACUUCCAAUUGAGGUUGGUACCAUGGUGAAUCUUAACGAACUGAUUCUGUCUGGAAACAAGUUGUCAGGCACCAUACCAGCUAGUGUUGGGAACUGUAUAUCGUUGGUACGGCUGCUGCUCGAUAACAACUUAUUAGAAGGAAGCAUACCUCAAUCUCUGAAGAACAUAAAAGGUCUUGCAUUACUGAACCUAACAAUGAAUAAGCUAUCUGGUAGUAUUCCUGAUGCCCUUGCUAGCAUUGGCCACCUGCAACAACUGUAUCUUGCACACAACAACUUGUCAGGUUCCAUCCCCAAAGUUCUACAGAAUUUGACAUUGUUGGCAAAACUGGAUUUGUCCUUCAAUGAUCUGCAAGGCGAAGUGCCAAAAGGGGGUCCUUUUGCAAAUGCAACUCACUUGUCAAUUGAUGGAAAUGAUGAGCUUUGUGGCGGAAACCCUCAACUUCAUUUAGCUCCGUGCUCCACAGCAGCUGCGGGGAAGAACAGAAGGCGAAUGUCAAGAUCACUUAUGGUCACCGUAGCGUCAAUCUGCGCACUUCUAUUCUUAGGUUUAGUAGUUUGUCUUAUCCAUUUGAUCCACAAGAGGCUCAGACAAGGAAAGGAAAAUCAACUCAUUCCCACAGCAAUUGAUGAACAGCACGAAAGGGUUUCAUAUCAAGCAUUAGCAAAUGGGACUGACCAUUUUUCGCAGGUUAAUCUGCUCGGACAAGGAAGCUAUGGUGCAGUUUAUAAGUGCACUUUACAAGACAAGGGAAUUACCGCAGCUGUAAAGGUAUUCAACGUGUGGCAAUCUGGGUCUACUAGAAGUUUUGUGGCUGAAUGUGAGGCACUGCGAAGGGUGCGCCACCGAUGUCUCAUAAAGAUCAUCACCUGUUGCUUAAGCAUUGAUCACCAAGGCCAAGAAUUCAAGGCACUGGUUUUUGAGUUCAUGCCCAAUGGUAACCUAAAUGGUUGGCUGCAUCCAGCAUCCAAAAUACAGAGUCUGAGCAAUACGCUCAGCUUAGCUCAGAGACUGGACAUUGCGGUAGAUAUCAUGGAUGCUUUGGAUUAUCUUCACAAUCAGUGUCAACCGCCUAUUAUCCAUUGUGAUCUCAAACCAAGUAACAUCCUCCUUGCCGAAAGUAUGAGUGCUCGGGUUGGAGAUUUCGGCAUAUCAAAAAUCCUUCCUGAUGACACUAGCAAAACUAUGCUGAAUUCGGUUAGCUUCACUGGACUAAGAGGUUCCAUUGGAUACGUCGCUCCAGGUAACAGAAACUAACACUGAUAUUGCUAUGUUCAGUUUUUAACUUCCAUUUUGCCAAGUCCAGUUAUCUCGGCAUGAAUCGUUCGUAAGUAGCUUGCCAUGAAUCCACUGACCAAAUAGUUUCUGAAAUCUGAAUUGACUGCAGAGUACGGCGAGGGUCGCGCCGUCUCAACUCUUGGAGAUGUUUACAGCCUCGGCAUACUGUUGCUUGAGAUGUUCACCGGGAUGAGCCCUACUGACGACAUGUUCAAAGGCUCCUUGGACCUUCAUAAGUUCGCCGAGGCCGCUCUCCCCGACAGAGCCUUGAAGGUAGCCGACCCGGCAAUCUGGCUUCAUGAAGAAGCAAAGGGGGAAGACCCGGCCACGGUGAGAAGCAGAAGCGAGAGGUGCUUGGCUUCAGUGGUCGGGCUUGGCGUGUCCUGCUCAAAGCAGCUGCCAAGGGAGCGGACGGCGAUGCGGGAUGCUGCCGCUGAGAUGCGUGCGAUCAGAGAUGCCUUCCUGGUUCAAUGUGCAACAGAGACUUGGCCUGCAGUCGGCACCAGCGGCCUUGGAAGCACAGACACUUGAAUGGUGGACGGAGCUACGGUCUCUUGACGCACCAAGGAGCCACCGGACUAGCUGCUCUGCAACUAACAGGGUGGAGAAAGCGCCCCUUAAUGAAAAGAAAAACAGCCGGUGCAAGGCUUUAUACAAAGAAUGUGACAGCCACUGCGUGUAUCCGAGAGCCUUAUCUAAUCUACCGAGGAUUGUUAUGUAUGGAUGCGU